UUUUUUGUAGUGUAAUCUCUCGAUCCAGAACUCAUGCGGGCCAUGGCAGACGCAAGGGAACGAUGAUGAAUGACUUGUUUGUUUUUGUGGAUGAGGAGUUGAGGAGGAAUGUGCAGUCAUCUUAGAAAAGGUAGUAUUUAUAACCGAGUACUAAUACGCUCCUAAGUGGUAAACCAUUUAGGUUUUUAUUGGUGUGAACAGGUUUGCAAUUAAAUAUAGCAUGGUAGUAAUUUGGAAUGUGACGGGAUGCAUGCUCCAAAUUUAUUGACGGAUCUAUAAUUUCUAAGUGCGGCACUAUUCCCGGACGGCCUGACGUGGGCUCGUGUUCUCGGCCGCGUACGUGGCAUUUGCAGGGUGCACCAUAAUAGGCGAUGUCAGCACACGUCUUGUUCCAUCAACCAUGUGCGCACGUUAUUACCAUCACGCACACUUCUUUUAAUUAGAAUCGGUGCCCGUCUAGCGCACACACCUUGAUUUGGCUGAACCGUUUGUGAUGCGUUGCCUAAUCAAAAACUGUUCAUCCGAGUGAACCGUAUGACGUAUAUCACACACACCUUGAUCUGGCUGACCCUUUCUUUUGUGUUGCCUAAUCACAAACAGUUCAUCCGAGUGAACUGUAUGGCAUAUAUCGCACACACCAUCAUCUGGCUGCCCGUCUCUGUUGUUCCGCCCCAUCACAGACAGUUUAUUGGAGUGAACUGUAUGCCAUAUAUCGCAUACGCCUCCAUCUGACAGCCCUUUCUUUUGUUCUGCCUCAUCACAAACAGUUCAUUGAACUAAACCGUAUGCCCCACAAUGCACACGCAACUAAUAUCAGAAACGUUUUGCAUCUUUUUUUAUGAUUUUUUACAUCACCGUUUGCGAUUAAUGCAUCGCACACAGUUUCGUCAAAGGGUCUUUGAUUGUAAUGUCGCGUUAGCAGCAUCCUGCAGUAGUGUCAUUAGGAGGCUUUUCAAAAACAAUAUGGAACACAUAAUCAACCAAAAUCUUAGCAUCAUUAAGUUGGCUAUCCUCAAAUACUUGUUGGUUCCCUUUUACAAUCCAAGAAUACUUUUGAUUAAUACCAUUGAAAACUUGUUGGAUUAUGUUUAAAGGUGGUAAUUCCUUCUUGGUAUUUUCAUCAAAAGUGUGGUUAUCACGAAACAAAUACCUCAAUAAAUAAUCUUCAUUGUGUAAAAUCUCAUCAAUCACGGGAUGUUCAUGGCACAUAUUGUAAAAUUCAAAUAUCUCUCUAGCCUCUUGCACUAUAUAAUCAAAUUAAUUCAUGAGGACAAGGGUAGCUAUCUUUUUAGCCUUAGGGUUAUCUAUAACAGGCAACUCAUAGAAUAAUCUUUGCAAAGUGGGAUGAGUGCAAACAAAUCUUCUCACAAGCUCAAUAUCAAGUGUGGAAAUAGCUUCAACAUAAUUUUUGGUUCUUUUAAGAAUACAAAUAUCAUCACGGACCAAAGUUCAUGUACAAUUAAAGAAUUCCUGAAUAAUGCUUUUUCCUAUGAUGUUACCACUCCCUGUUACAAAAGUUUUAGCAUCCAAAUUUGAGGGAGUUUAACCUUUAGGGAUUUGACCCUCUUCACCUUCUGGAUAACAAAUUCAGACAUGAUAGCAACUUCAAGCAAACAAACAAGCAAAAAAGGAAAAUGAAUAAUAUUUGUGUGUUUUUGUGAACAUGUUUUAGAAGUCGGGGAGAUGAAAAUGAGAGGCAAAUGACAAAUGAAUGUAAAUGCAAGGAGAUGAAAGUUUAUGGGAUGGUACUUGGUGAUGUCUCCCCGGCAACGGCAUCUGAAAUUCUUCUUGCUACUUGUGUGUUGCGUUGGGAUUUCCUUGAAGAGGAGUACUUCCUUCAAUUAAGAACCAAGGAUAUCAAUCCAGUAGGAGAACCAAGCAAUAUGUCGUGAACAAUACCUACACGCAAAAUAACAAAUAGUUGCACCCAACGCAGACAAGGGGUUGUCAAUCCCUUGGCAGUUAAUUGUAAGGAUCAAAUCUCAUAGUGAUAGAUAGGUAAACAAAGACACAAAAUAAAAUAAAGGUAAAUAAAUUGUAGAAAGGUAUUUUGGAUUUUGAGAUAUGAUAAAGAUAGACCCCGGGGCCAUAGUUUCACCAGAGGCUUCUCUCUCGAACAAAAAAACAUAUGGUAGGUAAACAAAUUACUGUUGGGCAAUUGAUAGAAAAGCACAUAGUUAUGAUGAUAUCCAAGGCAAUGAUCAUGUACAUAGGCAUCACGCCCGAGACAAGUAGACCGACUCCUACAUGCAUCUACUACUAUUACUCCACACAUCGACCGCUAUCCAACAUGCAUCUAGAGUAUUAAGUUCAUAAAGAACGGAGUAACGCCUUAAGCAAGAUGACAUGAUGUAGACAAAGUAAACUCAACCAAUAUGAAUAAACACCAUCGUUUUAUCCUUAAUGGAAAUGAUACAAAUAUGUUUCAUGUCCCUUUCUUUCACUGGGAUUGAGCACUGCAAGACCGAACCCAUUACAUAGAACCUCUCCCAUUGCAAGAUAAAUCAAUUUAGUUGGCCAAACCAAAUGGAUAGAUCAGAGAGAAAUACAAAGCUAUAACAAUCAUGCAUAAAAGAGUUUAGAGAAGACUGAAAUAAUAUUCAUGGGUAAUCUAAUCAUAAACCCACAAUUCAUCAGAUCCCAACAAACACACUACAAAACAAGAUUACAUUGAAUAGAUCUCCAAGAACAUUGAGGAGAACAUUGUAUUGAAGAUCAAUGAGAGAGAAGAAGCCAUCUAGCUACUAGAUAUGGACCCGUAGGUCUGUGGUAAACUACUUGCACAUCACCGUAAGGGUGGCAAGGUUGAUGUAGAUGCCCUCCUUGAUUGGUUCCCCCUCUGGCAGAGUGUCGGAAAAGGCCUCCACAUGGGAUCUCGCAAUAAUAGAAGCUUGCGGCGGCAGAAAAAGUAUUUUGCAUGGCUCUCUAUUGGUUUCCCGAUUUUGGAUAAUUUAUAGAGUUGGAAUUAGGUCAAGUGGAGGAAUGAGGGGCACACAAGACAAAUGGUCGCGUCCACCCCCUGCGCGCGCCCAUGUGCCUUGUGGCCUACUCCUUCGCCUUCUGGCCUCCUCCCAAAGAUUCUAGGGUCUCUUAUGUCCAGAAAACAAAUUGUCAAAAAGUUUCAUGGCAUUUGGACUUCGUUUGGUACUGAUUUACUGGAAAACCAAAAACAAGCAAAAAAACAACAACUGACACUUGGCACUAAGUUAAUAUGUUAGUCCCAAAAAAUGAUAUAAUAUUGCAUAUAGAACAUCCAAGAUUGAUACUAUAAUAGCAUGGAACAAUCAAAAGUUAUAGAUACAUUGGAGACGUAUCAAAGAUCGAUAAACUCUGGAUGUGAUUCAACAUCUCAUGGAGGUGAGAUAGCUCUUUGGAGUUCAGGGCCUUGUUAUAGGCUGGGCUGACCUGAAGCAUAAUCCGUGGAUCGCUUAACACGAGCCCGGCUUGUUGGUUGGCUAAUGACCCACAAGUAUAAGGUAUCAAUCAUAGUCCUUUCAAUAAGUAAGAGUGUCUACCCCAAUGAGGACUAGAAUGAAAUGACGAGCGGUAUCUAGCAAGGUAUUUUCUGCGGGCACUGAAACUAUUGGUAACAGAUAGUUCAUUAGUAAGAUAAUUCAUAACAGGUAACAAGUAACAAGUGUAGCAAAGGUGCAGUAACGUGGCCCAAUCCUUUUUAUAGUAAAGGAUAAUCCUGGACGAACUCUUAUAUAAAGCAAAGUGCUCCCGAGGACACAUGGGAAUUAUUGUCAAGCUAGUUUUCAUCAUGCUCAUAUGGUUCACGUUCGUUACUUUGAUAAUUUGAUAUGUGGGUGGAUCAGUGCUUGGGUGCUGUCCUUACUUGGAAAAUCCUCUCACUUAUGAUUAACCCCUCUUGCAAGCAUCCGCAACUACGAAAGAAGAAUUAAGAUAAAUCACACCAUAGCAUGAAACAUGUGGAUCCAAAUCAGCCCCUUACGAAGCAACACAUAAACUAGGGUUUAAGCUUCUGUCACUCUAGCAACCCAUCAUCUACUUAUUACUUACCAAUGCCUUCCCCUAGCCCCAAAUCAUGGUGAAGUGUCAUGUAGUCAACGUUCACAUAACACCACUAGAGGAAAGACAGCAUACAUCUCAUCAAAAUAUCGAACGAAUACCAAAUUCACAUGAUUACUUAUAACAAGACUUCUCCCAUGUCCUCAGGGACAAAUGUAACUAAUCACAAAGCAUGCUCAUGUUCAAGAUUAGAGGGGUAUUGAAUAUCAUUAAGGAUCUGAACAUAUGAUCUUCCACCAAAAAAACCUACUAGCAUCAACUACGAAGAGUAAUCAACACUACUAGCAACCCAUAGGUACCAAUCUAAGGUUCUAAGGCAAAGAUUGAAUACAAGAGGUAAACUAGGGCUUGAGAGGAGAUGAUGAUAAUGGAGAUGUUGAUGAAGAUUGACCCUCCCACAAUGAGAGGAUCAUUGGUGAUGACGAUGGUUUCGAUUUCCCCCUCCCGGAGGGAAGUUUCCCCGGCAGAAUCGCUCUGCCGGAGCCCUAGAUUGCUUCUACCCAGGUUCCGCCUCGAGACGGGGGCGCUUCAUCCUGAAAGCUUCCUUCUGAUUUUUCUAGGUCAAAACCCUUCAUAUAGCAGAAUAUGGACACCGGGGGCUAGCCAGGGGACCCACAAGCUUGGGAGGCACGCCCUGGGGGGUAGAGCGCGCCCCUAGGCUUGUGGCCACCUUGUGGGCCCCUCUCUGUUGUUUCUUCGCCCAAUAUUUUUAUAUAUUCGAAAAUAAUUCUCCAUAAAGUUUCAGGACACUUGGAGUUGUGCAGAAUAGGUAUCUUAUAUUUGCUCCUUUCCAAUCCAGAAUUCCAGCUGUCGGCAUUCUCCCUCUUCAUGUAAACCUUGUAAAUAAGAGAGAAAAGGCAUAAGAAUUGUAUCUUAAAGUGAAAUAACAGCCCAUAGUGCAAUAAAUAUAAACAUAAAAACAUGAUGCAAAAUGGACAUAUCAACUCCCCCAAGCUUAGGACUCACUUGUCCUCAAGCGAAAACCAAAAUCGAUAAUCAUGACCACAUCUUUAGAGAUACAAGUGUCAAUAAAAUAGAAUACGUACAUGAGAGCAUCAUGAUCAUCCUUAUAACGACAAUAUAUUAUAACUUCUUAUGCCAAAGUGACAAUUCAUUCACAAAGAAAAAAAUAGACCCAAAAACUUUAUUGAAAACUAACAAACUAUGAUCUCGGUCAUUGCAGCAAUUGCAAUUUAUCAUAACAUCGGAAAGAGUCAAUGUAAGAGCUUUUAUUUAGCAAGUUCACAAACUCAACCAUCAUUUAAUAUUUCAUAAUUGCUAACACUCACGUGAUACCUAUGAGAUUAAAGCUUCAAUCCGGCACAUAGGAAGAUAGGGGCUUAUAGUUUUGCCUCCCAACCAUUUACCACAAGGGUAACGUCAACAAUAAUAAUUUAUGAUCAACUACAUCCGAGUGGAUAUGUUUGUAUGGAUCUUUCCCCAACACAUAGUGCUUGCCAAAAAGAGAAAAUAUAAAAGGAAGGGUGAAGAUCACCAUGACUCUUGCAUAAGGGUAGAAAGUAAAAUAAAUGAUAGGCCCUUCGCAGAGGGAAGCAGAGGUUGUCAUGCGCUUUUAUGGUUGGAUCCACAAAAUCUUAAUGCAAAAGAACGUCACUUUAUAUUGGCGCUUGUGAUAAAGAACUUUAUUAUGUAGUCUGUCACUUUUAUUUCUUCCUCAUCACAAGUUCGUAUAAAGAUUAUUUUCCUCACACUAAAGAUCAUACAUAUUUAGAGAGCAAUUUUUAUUGCUUGCACCGAUGACAACUUACUUGAAGGAUCUUACUCAAUCCAUAGGUAGAUAUAGUGGACUCUCAUGGAAAACUGGGUUAAAGGCUUAUGGAUGCACAAUUAGUAUCUCUACUUGGUGCAGAAUUUUUGGCUAGCAUAGGAUGAGAAUCAAGCUCAACAUUUUGGAGGAUCCAUGACAAUAUAUCUUGCGGAUAUAAGGGAAGAUAACACAUUAUGUUGUCUUCCUUGUCCAACAUCAGCUUGUUAGCAUACAAUAUUUUAAUGAGUGCUCAGAAUCACAAAAGAUAUCCAAGAUAGUGUAUUUAUAUGUGAGACCUCUCUUUAUUACUUCCUAUUAAUUGCAACAAUGACAAAUACUAUGCUUGUCAACCCUUAGUAAAUUUCAUGCAUCAUACUUCUUAUAUGUGAAGUCAUCACUCCCCAUAAGAUUAUUAUAUGAUGAGGCACUUUGGUUUUAGUGAAAAAUGGGUUAGGUGGGUCAACAUGUUAUUAUACAUUGCUUCAACCUCUGUCAUUCUUAAUAGAGUUCCUGGGAAAAACAUCCAUUGUAAAUGUGGAGUCAGGCAAGGAGAUCCAUUUUCUCCUCUGCUAUAUGUGUUGGUUGGUGAGUUGCUGCAAAUAUUAGUUAAUGAAGCAUGGAAAAAUGGCACUCUUAAUUUACCUAUUGAUGCCAGCAACAAUGAGAGUUACCCCGUCAUCCUGUAUGCUGAUGAUACUCUUAUAAUUCUGCUUGAACAGGAGGAGCAAAUUAAUAAUUUCAUUGAGAUUCUGAACAGCUUCUCAAGAUUUACUGGGCUCAUUGUUAAUUAUAGUAAAUCAUCUCUCAUACCAAUCAACAUCUCUGAGGAUAGAGCUCAAGAAUUAGUUGACAUCCUUGGAUGUAAAAAGGAGUGCAUGCUUUUCACAUACCUAGGGUUGCCUAUGGGCACUACAAGGCCUAAAGUUGUUGAUCUCAUGCUAAUGGUAUCUAGGUUGGACCACAGAUUAUCUGGCAUUGCAAAUUUGAUGACAUAUUCAGGUAGACUCACACGUCUUAAAGCCAUUGUCUCUGCUUUGCCCAUUUUUGCUAUGUGUUGUAUUAGAGUUCCAUUCACUAUCUUGGAUCAUUUUGAGAAGUCUGGGAGAAGUUUCCUAUGGUAUGGAAAGGGGAUCAACAAGCAUGGAAAAUGUUUGGUUAAAUGGGAGAAGUUUCCUAUCUUGGACCAUCUUGGGGUUGAUCUUGCCCUUGGUCUUGUUCACGAGGUUGAGGGCCUUCACUUUGUUCUUUGGAAGCGUGUGGGUCUUGGGUUGGUGAUGGUUCCACCUGAGUGGAGCAUUGUCCUUCUCCUUCGGCCACAAGGGGUUCCUCAAUGGGUAGGAUAUGACCCACGCCCAUUCUUCUUAUGGCUUGGGGAGGAAUUUAUCACCUACAUCACAAGUACCACUUUGCUCCACUUGGGAGCCGUUAUUUUCGACAAACUCCACGUUACACGUCUCCUCAAUGAGUCUGGUGGACUUGUUGAGGACAUGGUAAGCAUGAGAGUUUGUAGCAUAACCAACAAAUAUGCCCUCAUAAGCUCUAGCCUCAAAUUUAGACAAAUAGACACCUUUCUCGAGAAUGAAACACUUACAACCGAACACCCGGAAGUACUUGAGGUUGGGCUUGUUACCAGUAAGUAUUUCAAAAGGAGUCUUGUUCAAGCCUUUGCGGAGAUAGAUCCGAUUUGAUGCAUGACAUGUUGUGUUUAUAGCUUCAGCCCAAAAGUUGUAUGGAGACUUGAACUCUGCCAUCAUGGUCCUUGCCGCAUCCAUCAAUGUCCGGUUCUUCCUCUCCGCGACACCAUUUUCUUGAGGGGUAUAUGGUGCAGCAUAUUGAUGCUUGAUCCCCUCAUCACUAAGAAACUCAUCCAAGGUGUAGUUCUUGAACUCGGUGCCGUUGUCACUUCUUAUUGUCAAGCUCUUUGAAUCAUGUUGAUGUUGAGCUUCAUUUGGAAAGUCGAUGACGGUUUGUUGAGUUUCACUCUUCCUCUUAAAGAAAUUGUUGGGGAACGUUGCAGAAAAUUAAAAAAUUUCCUACGAUUUCACCAAGAUCCAUCUAUGAGUUCAUCUAGCAACGAGUCAUGGGAGAGUGAUUGCAUCUACAUACCACUUGUAGAUCGCGUGCGGAAGCGUUCAAUGGAACGGGGUUGAUGGAGUCGUACUCGCCGUGAUUCAGAUCACCGAUGACCUAGUGCCGAACGGACAGCACCUCCGCGUUCAACACACGUACGGAGUGGAUGACGUCUCCUCCUUCUUGAUCCAGCAAGGGGGAAGGAGAGGUUGAUGAAGAUCCAGCAGCACGACGGCGUGGUGGUGGAUGCAGCAGAACUUCGGCAGGGCUUCGCUAAGCAACUACGGAAGGAGGAGGAGGUGUUGCAGGGAGGAGGGAGGCGCCAGGGCUUAUGGGUGCGGCCACCCCUCCCUCCCCUCCCUUUAUAUAGGCGCAAGAGAGGGGAGGGCGCAGCCUUGCCCCUUCCUCCAAGGAAGGGGUGCGGCCAAGAGGGGGGGAGGAGUCCAUCCUCCCCAAGGCACCUCGGAGGUGCCUUCCCCUCUUUGGACUCUCCCCUCUCCAAGUCUUCUUGGCGCAUGGGCCUCUUGGGGCUGGUGCCCUUGGCCCAUAUAGGCCAAGGCGCACCCCCUACAGCCCAUGUGGCCCCCCGGGCAGGUGGACCCCCCCGGUGGACCCUCGGACCCCUUUCGGCACUCCCGGUACAAUACCGAUAAAGUGCGAAACUUUUCCGGCGACCAAAAUAAGACUUCCUAUAUAUAAAUCUUUACCUCUGGACCAUUCCGGAACUCCUCGUGACGUCCGGGAUCUCAUCCGGGACUCCGAAAAACAAUCGGUUUGCUGCAUACUCAUAUUCAAACAACCCUAGCGUCACCGAACCUUAAGUGUGUAGACCCUACGGGUCCGCGAGACACGUAGACAUGACCGAGACGGUUCUCGGGCAAUAACCAAUAGCGGGCUCUGGAUACCCAUGUUGGCUCCCACAUGCUCCUCUAUGAUGUCAUCGGAUGAACCACGAUGUCGAGGAUUCGAUCAAACCCCGUAUACAAUUCCCUUUGUCAAUCGGUACGUUACAUGCCCAAGACUCGAUCGUCGGUAUCCCAAUACCUCGUUCAGUCUUGUUACCGGCAAGUCACUUUACUCGUACCGUAAUGCAUGAUCCCGUGACCAAACACUUGGUCACUUUGAGCUCAUUAUGAUGAUGCAUUACCGAGUGGGCCCAAAGAUACCUCUCCGUCAUACGGAGUGACCAAUCCCAGUCUCGAUCCGUGUCAACCCAACAGACACUUUCAUAGAUACCUGUAGUGCACCUUUAUAGUCACCCAGUUACGUUGUGACGUUUGGUAUACCCAAAGCACUCUUACGGUAUCCGGGAGUUACACGAUCUCAUGGUCUAAGGAAGAGAUACUUGACAUUGAAAAAGCUCUAGCAAAACGAACUACACGAUCUUGUGCUAUGCUUAAGAUUGGGUCUUGUCCAUCACAUCAUUCUCCUAAUGAUGUGAUCCCGUUGUCAAUGACAUCUAAUGUCCAUAGUCAGGAAACCAUGACUAUCUAUUGACCAACGAGCUAGUCAACUAGAGGCUCACUAGGGACAUGUUAUGGUCUAUGUAUUCACACGUAUAUUACGAUUUCCGGAUAAUACAAUUAUAGCAUGAAUAAAAGACAGUUAUCAUGAACAAGGAAAUAUAAUAAUAAUGCUUUUAUUAUUGCCUCUAGGGCAUAUUUCCAACAGUCUCCCACUUGCACUAGAGUCAAUAAUCUAGUUACAUUGUGAUGAAUCGAACACCCAUAGAGUUCUGGUGUUGAUCAUGUUUUGCUCGCGAGAGAGGUUUAGUCAAUGGAUCUGCGACAUUCAGAUCCGUAUGUACUUUGCAAAUAUCUAUGUCUCCAUCUUGAACAUUUUCACGGAUGGAGUUGAAACGGCGCUUGAUGUGCCUGGUCUUCUUGUGAAACCUGGGCUCCUUGGCAAGGGCAAUAGCUCCAGUGUUGUCACAGAAGAGUUUGAUCGGCCCCGACGCAUUGGGUAUGACUCCUAGGUCGGCGAUGAACUCCUUCACCCAAAUUGUUUCAUGCGCUACCUCCGAGGCUGCCAUGUACUCCGCUUCACAUGUAGAUCCCGCCACGAUGCUCUGCUUGCAGCUGCACCAGCUUACUGCUCCACCAUUCAACAUAUACACGUAUCCGGUUUGUGACUUAGAGUCAUCCAGAUCUGUGUCGAAGCUAGCGUCGACGUAACCCUUUACGACGAGCUCUUCGUCGCCUCCAUAAACGAGAAACAUGUCCUUCGUCCUUUUCAGGUACUUUAGGAUAUUCUUGACCGCUGUCCAGUGUUCCUUGCCGGGAUUACUUUGGUACCUUCCUACCAAACUUACGGCAAGGUUUACAUCAGGUCUGGUACACAGCAUGGCAUACAUAAUAGAUCCUAUGGAUGAGGCAUAGGGGAUGACGCUCAUCUCUUCUUUAUCUUUUGCCGUGGUCGGGCAUUGAGCCGAGCUCAAUCUCACACCUUGCAAUACAGGCAAGAACCCCUUCUUGGACUGAUCCAUUUUGAACUUCUUCAAAAUCUUAUCAAGGUAUGUGCUUUGUGAAAGACCUAUGAGGCGUCUCGAUCUAUCUCUGUAGAUCUUGAUGCCUAAUAUAUAAGCAGCUUCUCCAAGGUCCUUCAUUGAAAAACACUUAUUCAAGUAGGCCUUAAUGCUGUCCAAGAAUUCUAUAUCAUUUCUCAUCAAAAGUAUGUCAUCUACAUAUAAUAUGAGAAAUGCUACAGAGCUCCCACUCACUUUCUUGUAAACGCAGGCUUCUCCAUAAGUCUGCAUAAACCCAAACGCUUUGAUCAUUUCAUCAAAGCGAAUGUUCCAACUCCGAGAUGCUUGCACCAGCCCAUAAAUGGAUCACUGGAGCUUGCAUACUUUGUUAGCAUUCUUAGGAUCGACAAAACCCUCCGGCUGCAUCAUAUACAGUUCUUCCUUAAGAUGCCCGUUAAGGAAUGCCGUUUUGACGUCCAUCUGCCAUAUCUCAUAAUCAUAGUAUGCGGCAAUUGCUAACAUGAUUCGGACGGACUUAAGCUUCGCUACGGGAGAGAAAGUCUCAUCGUAGUCAAUCCCUUGAACUUGCCGAUAACCAUUAGCGACAAGUCGAGCUUUAUAGAUGGUGACAUUACCAUCUGCGUCCGUCUUCUUCUUAAAGAUCCAUUUGUUUUCUAUCGCUCGCCGAUCAUCGGGCAAGUCAGUCAAAGUCCAUACUUUGUUUUCAUACAUGGAUUCUAUCUCGGAUUUCAUGGCUUCUAGCCAUUUGUUGGAAUCUGGGCCCGCCAUCGCUUCUUCAUAGUUCGAAGGUUCACCGUUGUCUAACAACAUGAUUUCCAGGACAGGGUUGCCGUACCACUCUGGUGCGGAAUGUGUCCUUGUGGACCUACGAAGUUCAGUAGCAACUUGAUCCGAAGUACCUUGAUCAUCAUCAUUAUUUUCCUCUUCAGUUGGUGUAGGCAUCACAGGAACAUUUUCCUGAGCUGCACUACUUUCCCGUUCAAGAGGUAGUACUUCAUCGAGUUCUACUUUCCUCCCACUUACUUCUUUCGAGAGAAACUCCUUUUCCAGAAAGGAUCCGUUCUUGGCAACAAAGAUCUUGCCCUUGGAUCUUAAGUAGAAGGUAUACCCAAUGGUUUCUUUGGGGUAUCCUAUGAAGACGCAUUUUUCCGACUUGGGUUCGAGCUUUUCAGGUUGAAGUUUCUUGACAUAAGCAUCGCAUCCCCAAACUUUUAGAAACGACAGCUUAGGUUUCUUCCCAAACCAUAAUUCAUAUGGUGUCGUCUCAACGGAUUUAGACGGUGCCCUAUUUAAAGUGAAUGUAGCUGUCUCUAGAGCGUAUCCCCAAAAUGAUAGCGGUAAAUCGGUAAGAGACAUCAUAGAUCGCACCAUAUCUAAUAGAGUGCGAUUACGACGUUCGGACACACCGUUUCGCUGAGGUGUUCCAGGCAGCGUGAGUUGUGAAACGAUUCCACAUUUUCUUAAGUGUGUACCAAAUUCGUGACUUAAAUAUUCUCCUCCACGAUCCGAUCAUAAGAAUUUUAUCUUUCGGUCACGUUGAUUCUCUACUUCAUUCUGAAAUUCCUUGAACUUUUCAAAGGUCUCAGACUUGUGUUUCAUCAAGUAGACAUACCCAUAUCUACUCAAGUCAUCAGUGAGAGUGAGAACAUAACAAUAUCCUCCGCGAGCCUCAACACUCAUUGGACCGCACACAUCGGUAUGUAUGAUUUCCAACAAGUUGGUUGCUCGCUCCAUUGUUCCGGAGAACGGAGUCUUGGUCAUUUUGCCCAUGAGGCAUGGUUCGCAUGUGUCAAAUGAUUCAUAAUCGAGAGACUCUAAAAGUCCAUCAGCAUGGAGCUUCUUCAUGCGCUUGACACCAAUGUGACCAAGGCGGCAGUGCCACAAGUAUGUGGGACUAUCGUUAUCAACUUUACAUCUUUUGGUAUUCACGCUAUGAAUAUGUGUAACACUACGUUCGAGAUUCAUUAAGAAUAAACCAUUGACCAUAGGGGCAUGACCAUAAAACAUAUCUCUCAUAUAAAUAGAACAACCAUUAUUCUCGAAUUUAAAUGAGUAGCCAUCUCGUAUCAAACGAGAUCCAGAUACAAUGUUCAUGCUCGAACUUGGCACCAAAUAACAAUUAUUAAGGUUUAUAACUAAUCCCGUAGGUAAAUGUAGAGGUAGCGUGCCGACGGAGAUCACAUCGACCUUGGAACCAUUCCCGACGCGCAUCAUCACCUCGUCCUUCGCCAGUCUCCACUUAUUCCGCAGCUCCUGCUGUGAGUUACAAAUAUGAGCAACGGCACCGGUAUCAAAUACCCAGGAGUUACUACGAGUACUGGUAAGGUACACAUCAAUUACAUGUAUAUCAAAUAUACCUUUAGUGUUGUCGGCCUUCUUAUCCGCUAAGUAUUUGGGGCAGUUCCGCUUCCAGUGACCCUUCCCCUUGCAAUAAAAGCACUCAGUCUCAGGCUUGGGUCCAUUCUUUGACUUCUUCCCGGCAACUGGCUUACCGGGCGCGGCAACAUCUUUGCCGUCCUUCUUGAAGUUCUUCUUACCCUUGCCCUUCUUGAACUUAGUGGUCUUAUUGACCAUCAACACUUGAUGUUCUUUCUUGAUUUCAACCUCUGCUGACUUCAGCAUAGAAAAUACUUCAGGAAUGGUCUUUACCAUCCCCUGCAUAUUGUAGUUCAUUACAAAGCUCUUGUAGCUUGGUGGGAGCGACUGAAGGAUUCUGUCAAUGACCGCCUCAUCAGGGAGGUUAAUAUUCAGCUGGGUCAUACGGUUGUGCAACCCAGACAUCUUGAGUAUGUGCUCACUGACAGAACUAUUUUCCUCCAUCUUACAACUAUAGAACUUGUCGGAGAUGUCAUAUCUCUCGACCCGGGCGUGAGCUUGGAAAACUAGUUUCAGCUCCUCGAACAUCUCAUAUGCUCCGUGAUGCUCAAAACGCUUUUGGAGCCCCGGUUCUAAGCUGUAAAGCAUGCCGCACUGAACGAGGGAGUAAUCAUCAGCACGUGUCUGCCAAACGUUCAAAUCGUCUUGCAGUGCUGGGAGAGCAGGUGGGUCACCUAACGGUGCUUCAAGACAUAUGCUUUCUUGGCAGCUAUGAGGAUGAUCCUAAGGUUCCAGACCCAGUCUGUAUAGUUGCUACCAUCAUCUUUCAGCUUGGUUUUCUCUAGGAACGCAUUGAAGUUCAUGUUGACAUGAGCGUUGGCCAUUUGAUCUAUAAGACAUAUUUUGCAAAGAUUUUAGACUAAGUUCAUGAUAAUUAAGUUCAUCUAAUCAAAUUAUUUAAUGAACUCCCACUCAGAUUUGACAUCCCCUUAGUCAUCUAAGUGUUACACGAUCCGAGUCGACUAGGCCGUGUCCGAUCAUCACGUGAGACGGACUAGUCAUCGUCAGUGAACAUUCUCAUGUUGAUCGUAUCUUCCAUAUGACUCGUGUUCGACCUUUCAGUCUCCGUGUUCCGAGGCCAUGUCUGUACAUGCUAGGCUCGUCAAGUUAACCCUAAGUGUUUUGCAUGUGUAAAAUUGUCUUACACCCGUUGUAUGUGAACGUAAGGAUCUAUCACACCCGAUCAUCACGUGGUGCUUCGAAACGACAAACUUUAGCAACGGUGCACAGUUAGGGGAGAACACUUCUUGAAAUUGUUGUAAGGGAUCAUCUUAUUUACUACCGUCGUUUCUAAGUAAACAAGAUGCAUAAAACAUAAUAAACAUCACAUGCAAUUAUAUAAAGUAGUGACAUGAUAUGGCCAAUAUCAUAUAGAUCCUUUGAUCUUCAUCUUCGGGGCUCCAUGAUCAUCUUGUCACUGGCAUGACACCAUGAUCUCCAUCAUCAUGAUCUCCAUCAUCGUGUCUUCAUGAAGUUGUCACGCCAACGACUACUUCUACUUCUAUGACUAACACGUUUAGAAAUAAAGUAAAGUAGUUUACAUGGCGUUCUUCAAUGACACGCAGGUCAUACAAAAAAUAAAGACAACUCCUAUGGCUCCUGCCGGUUGUCAUACUCAUCGACAUGCAAGUCGUGAUUCCUAUUACAAGAACAUGAUAUCAUACAUCACAAUAUAUCAUUCAUCAUUCAUCACAACUUCUGGCCAUAUCACAUCACAUGACAAUUGCUGCAAAAACAAGUUAGACGUCCUCUAAUUGUUGUUGCAUCUUUUACGUGGCUGCAAUUGGGUUCUAGCAAGAACAUUUUCUUACCUACGAAUAACCACAACGUGAUUUUGUCAACUUCUAUUUACCCUUCAUAAGGACCCUUUUCAUCGAAUCCGCUCCAACUAAAGUGGGAGAGACAGACACCCGCCAGCCACCUUAUGCAACUAGUGCAUGUCAGUCGGUGAAACCGGUCUCACGUAAGCGUACGUGUAAGGUUGGUCCGGGCCGCUUCAUCUCACAAUACCGCUGAAGCAAGAUAAGACUAGUAGUGGCAAGCAAGUUGACAAGAUCUAUGCCCACAACAAAAUUGUGUUCUACUCAUAGACCUAGCUCAUGAUGCCACUGUUGGGGAACGUUGCAGAAAAUUAAAAUUUUUCCUACGGUUUCACCAAGAUCCAUCUAUGAGUUCAUCUAGCAAUGAGUCAUGGGAGAGUGAUUGCAUCUACAUACCACUUGUAGAUCGCGUGCGGAAGCGUUCAAUGGAACGGGGUUGAUGGAGUCGUACUCGCCGUGAUUCAGAUCACCGAUGACCUAGUGCCGAACGGACAGCACCUCCGCGUUCAACACACGUACGGAGCGGAUGAUGUCUCCUCCUUCUUGAUCCAGCAAGGGGGAAGGAGAGGUUGAUGAAGAUCCAGUAGCACGACAGCGUGGUGGUGGAUGCAGCAGAACUUCGGCAGGGCUUCGCUAAGCAACUACGGAAGGAGGAGGAGGUGUUGCAGGGAGGAGGGAGGCGCCAGGGCUUAUAGGUGCGGCCACCCCUCCCUCCCCUCCCUUUAUAUAGGUUCAAGAGAGGGGGAGGGCGCAGCCUUGCCCCUUCCUCCAAGGAAGGGGUGCGGCCAAGAGGGGGGGAGGAGUCCAUCCUCCCCAAGGCACCUCGGAGGUGCCUUCCCCUCUUUGGACUCUCCCCUCUCCAAGUCUUCUUGGCGCAUGGGCCUCUUGGGGCUGGUGCCCUUGGCCCAUAUAGGCCAAGGCGCACCCCCUACAGCCCAUGUGGCCCCCCAGGGCAGGUGGACCCCCCCGGUUGACCCCCGGACCCCUGUCGGCACUCCCGGUACAAUACCGAUAAAGUGCGAAACUUUUUCGAUGACCAAAAUAAGACUUCCUAUAUAUAAAUCUUUACCUCCGGACCAUUCCGGAACUCCUUGUGACGUCCGGGAUCUCAUCCGGGACUCCGAACAACAUUCAGUUUGCUGCAUACUCGUAUUCAUACAACCCUAGCGUCACUGAACCUUAAGUGUGUAGACCCUAUGGGUUCGGGAGACACGUAGACAUGACCGAGACGGUUCUCGGGCAAUAACCAACAGCGGGGUCUGGAUACCCAUGUUGGCUCCCACAUGCUCCUCGAUGAUGUCAUCGGAUGAACCACGAUGUCGAGGAUUCGAUCAAACCCCGUAUACAAUUCCCUUUGUCAAUCGGUACGUUACAUGCCCAAGACUCGAUCGUCGGUAUCCCAAUACCUCGUUCAGUCUUGUUACCGGCAAGUCACUUUACUCGUACCGUAAUGCAUGAUCCCGUGACCAAACAUUUGGUCACUUUGAGCUCAUUAUGAUGAUGCAUUACCGAGUGGGCCCAGAGAUACCUCUCCGUCAUACGGAGUGACAAAUCCCAGUCUCGAUCCGUGUCAACCCAACAGACACUUUCGGAGAUACCUGUAGUGCACCUUUAUAGUCACCCAGUUACGUUGUGACAUUUGGUACACCCAAAGCACUCUUACGGUAUCUGGGAGUUACACGAUCUCGUGGUCUAAGGAAGAGAUACUUGACAUUGAAAAGCUCUAGCAAAACAAACUACACGAUCUUGUGCUAUGCUUAAGAUUGGGUCUUGUCCAUCACAUCAUUCUCCUAAUGAUGUGAUCCCGUUGUCAAUGACAUCUAAUGUCCAUAGUCAGGAAACCAUGACUAUCUGUUGACCAACGAGCUAGUCAACUAGAGGCUCACUAGGGACAUGUUAUGGUCUAUGUAUUCACACGUGUAUUACGAUUUCCGGAUAAUACAAUUAUAGCAUGAAUAAAAGACAGUUAUCAUGAACAAGGAAAUAUAAUAAUAAUGCUUUUAUUAUUGCCUCUAGGGCAUAUUUCCAACAGAAAUAUACCCAAGUGUAUCUUGAAUAAUCACCGACAAUCACCAAGCAAUACUUUCUACCCCCAAGACUAUCAAAGGAUGGAGGCCCAAAGAGGUCCAUGUGAAGGAGCUCCAAGGGUCUCUUCGAGUAGAUGAUAGUCGUGGGAGAGUGAGCCUUCUCAUGAAGCUUUCCUUCGAUACAAGCACUGCAAGCACGAUCUUUGGCAAAACUAACAUUUGUUAGUCCAUGGACAUGGUCCCCCUUGAGAAGACUUUGCAAAGAUCUCAUAUUGACGUGGGCUAAACGGCGAUGCCAAAGCCAUCCCACAUCAACUUUAGCCAUUAGGCAUAUCGCAGUCUUAGUUGGUCGCUCCGAAAAGUUAAUCACAUAGAGACCGUUCUCGACAUGCCCAACAAAGGCUACUUUAAGAGUCUUGCUCCACAAGAGGGCCACAGUAUCAAUAUCAAAGAAAGUGGCAAAGCCCAUGAGUGCAAGUUGACAAACGGAAAGUAAAUUGUACGCAAGGGACUUAACAAGCAUGACUUUCUCGAUCGUUAGAUCAUGAGAAAUGACAACCUUGCCAAGACCCAAUACCUUAGAAGAUGAGGCAUCACCCCACUCGACAUUGGUGGGCAUAGAUAGGAUAUUUUGCACGUCCACCACCAAGUCCUUUCUCCCGGUCAUAUGAUUUGUUGCUCCACUAUCGAGCAACCAUGAUCCCCCACCGGAAGCAAACACCUACAAGAGAUCAAUGCUUGGUUUUAGGUACCCAUUUAGUAAUGGGUCCUUUGAUGUUAGUAACAAGGGUCUUAGGAACCUAAAUAGACCAUUCAAUGUACUCAUAAGGAGAACCACCAAAUUUAGCAUAAACAUGCCCAUCACUAGCAUGGCACAACACAUAAGAUGGGUUAAAGUCACCAACUUUGUUGGAGGAGGUGGUUUAGCCCUUUUUGACAUCACCACCCUUCACAUUGUUCUUCUUAUCCUUAGGAGCACCCUCUCCCUCUUUCACAAAAGUUUGCUUGAGAGGAGGAGGUUGUUUGGUCUUGUCGUUCUUCUUCUUGUUCUUGGACUUGGGUGCGAACCCAACUCCCUCCUUCGCCACAACUUCCUUUUGAUUGCUCAAAAGGUCGUUGAGGUUCUUCUCUCCUUGAAUGCAUGUCACAAGGCCUUUCUCAAGUUGAUCCUUCAACUUGGAAUUCUCCCCCACAAGAUGCACAUGAUCACAACACGGGUUAGUGGCAUUUGCAUUAUCAAUUAAUACCAUAUGAGGAAAGGUGGCCUUUUCUUUGGUUAGCUUAACUUGGAGUUGAGCAUGAGACUCCUUGAGGCUAGCAUGAGCACCCUUCAAGACCUUGUGGGCCUUGUCAAGUAAAUAAAACUCCUCCUUGAGUCUAGCAUGGUCAACACCAAGUUUAGCCUUCUUGGAAGUUAGCACACGAGACACAACAAGAGCAUGAUUAAGAUCUUUCUUUAACUUAGCAUGGUCAUUGUUGUGUGACUCCUCAAGAGCCAAACGAUGCCCACGCUCUUCCUCAAGAGCAUUAGAGAGAUCCGAUAUCUCAUCGACAUAGUCACGACUAUGACCUUCCAUCUUAGAGAUGGUUUCUUCGUGAGCCUCGAUCAUGUCAUUGGCUUCACCAAGUUGUUCCAAGAGAGCAACAAAGUGCUUCUUGGAUUUGCCCUUGAGCUUACUCAUAAAAGACUCAAAUUCAUUCACUUCCUCAUUAGAUCCCUCACUUUCAUCAAUGCCAUCCGUCAAGGAGGGACUAGUAAUGAUGGUGGUUUUGAUGUUGGGGGUUACCUUGUUGGUGGCUUUAGCCAUGAGACACUUGGCGGUGAUGUUCUCAUUAGGUGAGUCGAAGAGGCACACCCGUGGAGUUGUGGCAAUGGCAACGGAGGCCAUGGCCAUGGCUUCAUUAUCUUCAUCAUCAUCGUCAUCCUCAUGGUAUUCUUCUUGAACCACCAACCCUCGAGUGGGAGCCUUUCUGGUGAAGUUGUUUUUGUUGGGGAAGGACUUGGCUUUGUCCUUUCAGAUGAGCUUGCCACCAUUGUCUUCCCGCUUCUCGUAAGGGAAAUCCACAAAAAAAUGGCUCACAUAGCCACAAUUGUAACAUGUUCUCACACGUUGCUUGCCCUUGAGCCCACUUAGUUGUUCUUGUUGAAGUUGGGCCUUGUGUUCUUCUUGCUCCAAAAUUGCCUUGACGCAAGAGCCAUGUGUUCAUGAUAGUCAUAUUUUGUAUCUUCGGGGUUGCUCUCCUCAUCUUCCUCUUCUUCCUCUUCUUCCACAAUAACCUUGGCCUUCAAGGCAAGGUUGGGCUUCUUUACCCUUUGUGAGCGCAACACUGCAUUGUCGGCGGUCUUGUCCAAGAUCCUCAUUGCCACAAACUCAUCCAACACUUCGUUUGUGGUCAAGGAGUGGAAGUCCGGUCUUUGACAGAUGACGGAGGACAAGGCCUUGUUGUAAGGCAUCAUUGCUUUAAGAAACUUGCGCUUGAUCCAAUUGUCAUUCGUGUCCUUGCUCCCAUGAUCUCGGAGUGAGACCGCAAGUUUGGUGACUCUCCAGAAUAGCUCACGAGGUUCUUCAUCUUAUUUCAUUGCAAACUCAUCGUCUUCAUCUUGCACCACUUCAUAGUUGGAGAGUUGAAUGCUUGCACUUCCCUUAUAGAGGGAACAACGCAAUGCCAUGCAUCUUUGGCCAUGGCGAAGGGUCGAAGAUGAGGGAGAUCUUUGGGAAGAACUGUAUCUUGAAUGAUGAAGAGAGCAUUCUCAUUGAAUUGAUGGUCCAUGGCUUCUCUAGGGGUGAAGUUGCUUCGGUCAUGUGGAUGAAAACCUUCUUCAAUGAUUCUCCAAAGGUUAGUAUUCACAUGAUUUAAAUGACGCUUGAAGCGAUACACCCAAGAAUCAAAGUCCUCAUUUUUCACAAUCUUAGGAGGAGGCCCGGCAUGAUUUAAAUGAGUAGAAGGAAUCAGUCCUCCAUAAACUGGAGGUGCCACAUGGGCAAAGAUGCCGGUGCCAUUUCUACCACUAGUAGAAGGUUCCUUUUCACUAGUAGCUUCCCCCUUGUCAGAGUUAGCAUCCGUCACCUUGUCAGUGGGUUCACCCACUUUCAAUGGCGAGGUAGAUAGUUUAAGUCCUUCUAAGAAUUUAUUAAACAUGCUUUCAACCUCGGUUGUCAUGGAGGUUUUCAAUGUCUCCAAAUCCACAUUGAACUCCUCACGGGACACCGUGGUUCCCCCAUCACCCGUAGACAAGAUCGGAUUCACACCGGAGUGCUCCUCCCCACCGUCUAUGGUGUCAACCAUACUCUUCGGACGGCAAAGUCCUUAAUAAAGAGAUGAGGCUCUGAUACCAAUUGAAAGAAUCGAUAUAGUUGACUAGAGGGAGGUGAAUAGGCAACUAACAUUUUUUAACUUUUCUUUACCAAAUUAAACUUUGCAUCAAAGUAGGUUGUCUAAAUAUGCAACUAGGUGAGCAACCUAUAUGAUGCAACAACAAUAAGUACACAAGCAAGCAAGGGAGACAACACAAAUAAACUAUCACAAGUAAAGGCACGAGAUAACCAAGAGUGGAGCCGAUGGAGACGAGGGUGUUUUACCGAAUUUCCUUCCUUUUGAGGGGAAGUACGUCUCCGUUAGAGCGGUGUGGAGGCACAAUGCUCCCCAAGAAGCCACUAGGGCCACCGUAUUCUCCUCACGCCCUCACACAAUGCAAGAUGCCGUGAUUCCACUAUUGGUGCCCAUAAAGGCGGUGACCGAACCUUUACAAACAAGGUUGGGGCUAUAUCCACAACUUAAUUGGAGGCUCCCAACGACACCACGAAGCUUCACCACAAUGGACUAUGGCUCCACGGUGACCUCAACCAUCUAGGGUGCUCAAACACCCAAGAGUAACAAGAUCCGCUAGGGGUUAGUGGGGGGAAUCAAAUUUCUCUUGGUGGAAGUGUAGAUCGGGGCCUUAUCAACCUAUCCUGAGCAAAUCAACAAGUUUGAUUGGAUAGAGAGAGAGAUCGGGCGAAAAUGGAACUUGGAGCAACAAUGGAGCUUUUGGGGGAAGAGGUAAGUCAACUUUGGGGAAGAAGACCCCCCUUAUAUAGUGGGGGUAACAAUCCAACCGUUACCCCCCAAGCAGUCCUGCAGCGAGUGGUACUACCGCUGGGGUGGGCGGUACUACCGCUGAGCCAGCGGUACUACCGUCCCACCUAGCGGCACUGCCGCGCAAAGGAGGGGAGCAAGGUCCUGGCCCCUGAGCGGUACUACCGUGGUGUUAAGGGCGGUACUACCGCUUGGGAGCGGUAUACCGCCUCUACUGCCGCAGCUAGUGCCGCAAAACCCGACAAGAGAAAAGGGGCACUCGAGUCGAGGCAGUAGGAGCACGGGGCCGCAGCGGUACUACGGCAGAAGGCUCCAAGCGGUACUACCGCUAAGGAGCGGUACUACCGCUUGUUGCGCUUGGGCGGUACUACCGCUGUGGCCCACGAUACUACCGCUGGGGCCAGACGAAGCAAGCAGGGAGGGGAAAGAGUUCUCCAUUGAAGCGGGAAGGUUCAGCGGGUGCGAUAAGGAUGUGUAAGUGUUGAUUCCACCCUAGCCUUACCAAAGUGGAUCCCCUCUUGAUAGUACGGUGAGUCCUAUGAAACUAGUCCACCAACAUAGAAACGAAAGAGCUGCACCGUCUUGAAUAAAACACCGAGGGGAGGGAAUCGUCUCAUGCCAAAGGAUGAAUCUCUAAAAAGCUCAACGCACAUGAUUAGUCCGCAAAAGCAUUGUCAUCAAUCACCAAAACACCUUAGGGAUAAAUAUGCCCUAACACCUGGAUAUGAUCAUAAUUAUUUGAAGUUCUAUUAAUUACCCAACAAUAGUUUGUUUACCCACCGUAUGCUAUUUACUCGAGAGAAGCCACUAUUGAAAUCUAUGGGCCCCGAGUCUAUUUUCUCUUCAAAUAUCUUCAGAUCUAUUUUGUUAUUUGCCUUCUUAUUUAUUUGCAUCUUUUAUUUUCAGAUCUAUAUUAUCAAAAAAACCAAAAAUACCUCACUGAAUUUUAUUUGUCGUUAUUCUAUUUGCAUCUAUCAUAUUAUAUCUUUACCAAUCUUUUACCCGGGAGGGAUUGACAACCCCUCUUACGUGUCGGGUUGCAAGUAUUGGUUCUUUGUGUGCAGGUACCGCUUACAUAGUGUUGCUUGGUUCUCCCACUGGUUCGAUAACCUUGGUUUCAUCACUAAGGGAAAUACCUACCAUAGUUGUGCUGCAUCAUCCUUUCGUAUAUAAUUCCGAUCAUGAUGAACUAGGUGCAUAGGAGAAAACUUCUGAUGAAACUCCAGGAGUAAGAUUCAGGUCAGGAAGUGGGGUGCUUAGAUCCUUUUGCCAAAUUUUGAUGAAAUCAAGGAUCUUCCUUGGAUCUAGCAUAAGAGGAACAUGGCUGCCUUUGGCUCUUGCAGCCUUUUGUUACCUAUCUCUGAUGAUUUCGGCAAGUUCAUCAUCAUUGGCCUCAUCAUCAGUUUCAUCAUCUGAUGGUUCUUUGAAAGUCACUUGCCGUGCCCAGAAGUGGUUUUCACCUUCAACAAUGUUGGACCACUUGAGGAAUGUGUAUGGGUGAUGUUGCUUGAAACUGCGUCCGUAUUUCCCCAAAGAGGAAGGGAUGAUGCAGUACAGCUACGGUAGUAUUUCCCUCGGUUGUGAAACCAAGGUAUCAAUCCAGUAGGAGAACCAAGCAACACUAUGUAAAUGGUACCUGCACAUAAAGAACGAAUGCUUCCAACCCGACACGUAUGAGGGGUUGUCAAUCCCUCCUCGGGUAACAACGCUAGAAAUUGUCAAGUUGACGGAAUAAAAUUUGUGGUAGAUUGGAUAAAACGCGAAAUAAAAUAAGUAAUAAAAAGUGCAGCAAGGUAUUUUUGGGUUUUUGGAAUAAUAGAUCUGAAAACAAAAGCGAAUAAAAAUAUAUCUCAAAGCAAAUAUGAUAAAGAAUAGACCCCGGGGACGUAGAUUUCACUAGUGGCUUCUCUUGAGAAAUAGCACACGGUGAGAAAUCAGAUUACUGUUGGGUAACUGAUAGAAGAUCGAAUAGUUAUGACGAUAUCCAAGGCAAUGAUCAAUAUAUAGGCAUCACGUCCAAGAUUAGUAGACCGACUCCUGCCUGCAUCUACUACUAUUACUCCACACAUCGACCGCUAUCCAGCAUGCAUCUGUGUAUUGAGAUCAUGGAGAAAUGGAGUAAUGCAAUAAGAACGAUGACAUGAUGUAGACGAGAUCUAUUCAUGUAGGAAUAGACCCAUCUUGUUAUCCUUAAUAGCAACGAUACAUGCGUGUCUUGCUACCCCUUCUGUCACUAGGAAAGAACACCACAAGAUCGAACCCAUCACAAAGCUCCUCUUCCCAUGGCAAGAAAAAUUGAUCUAGUUUGCCUAACUAAACCAAAGAUUCAGAGAAGAAAUACGAGGCUAUAAAUAAUCAUGCAUAUAAGAGAUCAAAGAAGGCUCGAAUAAUAUUCAUGGAUAUAGAUCUGAUCAUAAACUCAAAGUUCAUCGGAUCCCAACAAACACACUGCAAAAAGAGUUACAUCAAAUAGAUCUCCAAGAGACCAUUGUAUUGAGAAUCAAAAGAGAGAGAGGAAGCCAUGUAGCUACUGCCUACGGACCCGUAGGUCUAUGGUGGACUACUCACGCAUCAUCAAAGAGGCACCAAUAAGGAUGAUGAACCCCUCUGUGAUGGUGCUCGAUUGGAUCUCGUGAUUCUGGAACUUGCGACGGCUAGAAUUGUGUUUUGUCGACUCCCCUCUGGUACUUCUUUGGCACACUAGGUGUCUUCUAGUCUGGAAAAAAUCUCCAAAAGUUUUACUAUGUUUGGACUCCAUUUAGUACUGAUAUUCUGCGAAGUAAAAAACAAGCAAAGAACAACAACUAGCACUAUGGCACUAUGUCAAUAGGUUAGUCCCAAAAAAAUAUAUAAAGUUGCUAUAAAAUGGUUGUAAAACAUCCAAGAAUGAUAAUAUAACAGCAUGGAACAAUCAAAAACGAUAGAUACAUUGGAGACGUAUCAGCAUCUCCUAGCUUAAUUCUUGCUCAUCCUCGAGUAGGUAAAUGAUAAAAACAGAAUUUUUGAUGUGGAAUGGUGCCUAAAAUGUUCAUCACAUAUUCUUUUCUUUUGUAUCAUGGACAUUUGGACUUUUAUAUGGUUCAAAGCAAUAGUCUAGUUUUGACAUGAAGAUUUCAAUACUCAAGCAUAUCAACAAGCAACCAUGUCCUUCGAAAUAUCAACACUGAAGAAAGUUAUCCCUAGCCCAUCAUGCUUAAUCAAUUAUACAUUCAUGAAACACACUCGCAUAUUAGCUACAUCCAAUGCUCAAGUAGUAUAAUAGUGCUCCCUAAUUGGUGCUUUAUACAAGAAGAUGGAGACUCAAAUAAAAUAAAAAUUGCAUAAAGUAAAUAGAUAGUCCCUUCACAGAUGGAUGUAGGAAUUUGUAGAGGUGCAAGAGCUCAAAGCUUAAAUUGAGAGAUAAAAUUCCCAACACUUUCCAUGCUAGAUAUAUCAUAGGCGGUUCCCAAACAGAAAAUAAAGUUUAUUCCUUUUUCCACCAUUCUUUCACAAUCCAUGGCUAGUCAACACUUUCCAAGGAAUUUAUUAUUUGACAACAUAAAGUAAAUUUCUUUUCAUUUCGGGACUGCGCAUCCCUAUUACAGCCAUACUCUCGUGCAAUGACAAGUGAAUAAACAUCAUCUUGAGAAUAACACAUCUAGCAUGGAAAAUAUUGGCCACCCCCUGUUGCUUCAUGAGCGGUACGAGCACACAAAAAGGAAAUUCAUUUUGAAAACUAGAGAUGGCAGAUACAAAUUUUCUUAGAAUGACACGGAAAUACCGCAUAUAGGUAGGUAUGGUGGACUCAUAUGGCAAAACUGGGUUUAAAGAUUUUGGAUGCACAAUUGGUAUUUCUACUUAUGACAAGUGGAGGCUAGCAAAUAGAUUCAGAAGCAACCAACCCAGGAACGAAAAAUCACAUAAGUGAGCAUUAAGCAUAACUAACACUGAAUAAUGCACCAAAAGUAGGAUGUAAUUUCAUUGCAUAACUAUUAACUUUCGUGCUUGCAUAGGGAAUCACAAAUCUUCACACCAAUAUUCUUACAAAAGCAUAAUUACUCACCAACAUGACUUACAUAUCACUAUCAUCAUAUCUCAAAACUAUUACAAAGAAUCAAGUUUAUUUUUUCCAAUGAUAUGAAAGUUUUUAUUAUAUCCCUCUUGAAUAUCUAUCACUUUGGAACUAAUUUCAUAUGUGUAAAUUGCCUUUGAUAAGCUCAAACAAAUUUAAGUGAAGAACAUGAGCAUAAAAAAUUUCUUCUCUCAAAAUAAUAUAGGUGAAGCAUGAGAGAGUUUCUUCAAAAAUUUCCUAACUCCCAAAUAAAUCUAAGUGAAAUAUGAGAGCAUUUCUUCAAAAAUAUUAAAGCACACCGUGCUCAAAAAGAUAUAAGUGAAGCACUAGAGCAAUUCCAUAGCUCAAAAAAUUGAAGUGAAGCAUAAAGAGCAAUUCGAACAAAUCAUAUCAUAAUUUUGGCUCUCUCAAAUAGGUGUGUCGAACAAGGAUAGAUGACACAAACUAAAAAGAAAAACAAGGGAAGACUCAUAUAAUACAAGACGCUCCAAGCAAAACUCAUGAUAUAUGAUGAAUAAAAAUAUAGCUCCAAGUAAAAUACCGAUGGUCGUUAGAAGAAAGAGGGGAUGCCUUCAGGGGCAUCCCCAAGAUUAGUUGCUUGGUUCUCCAUGAAUAAUAACUUGGCGUGCCAUGGGGCAUCCCCAAGCUUAGGCUCUUUUCACUCCCUAUUCCUUCAUCCAUCGUGAUCGCACCCAAAACUUAAAAACUUCAAUCACACAAAACUCAACAAAACCUUCGUGAGAUGCGUUAGUCUAACAAAGCAAAUCACCACUCUAAAUACUAUUACAAACCAAUUAAUAUUUUAUUUUUGCAUUAUACCUACUGUAUUCUAACUUUACCAUGGCUUAUACCCCCCGAUACAAUCCAUAGAUUGAUCAAAAUAAGCACACAACGCAAAGAAAAAAGGAUCUGUCAAAAACAGAAUAGUAUGUAGUAAUAUGGAAACUUCGUAUACUUUUGUAACUCCGAAAAUUAUGAAACAUUAGGACAACGUAGGAACUUUGUAUAUCAAUCUUGUGUAAAAAAUUCAGAAUUUUAUCACAUUUAUGUGAUUUUAAACAAUUCUGCUACUGGGUGCAAAAGUUUCUGUUUUUUAACAAGAUCAAAUCAACUAUCACCAAACAUGAUCCCAAAGGCUUUACUUGGCACAAACACUAAUUAAAACAUAAAAAGCAAUUAUAACAGUAUCAUAAUUGUGUGAACGCAUAGAAAUAAAAAGAAAAAGAUAAAAAAUAUAUUUUAUUCAUUGGGUUGCCUCCCAACAAGCUCUUUAUUUAUAGCCAUUAAGACAUGCUUAAAAUUUCAAUGAUGCUCACAUGAAAGAUAAGAAUUGAAGCACAAAAAGAGCAUCAUGAAUCAUAUGACAAACACAUUUAAGUCUAACAUACUUCCUAUGCAUAGGAAUUUUAUAAGCAAACAAAUUAUCAAGACAAGAAACAUCUAACAUAUGCAAAGAAAAGGAAUAAAACAUUGACGAUCUCAACAUAACGAGAGGUAAUUUAGUAACAUGAAAAUUUCUACAACCAUAUUUUCCUCUCUCAUAAUAAUUACAUGUAGGAUGAUAAUCAAUUCAACAAUGUAAUUGUCACAUAAAAUAUUCUCUUCAUGAUCCACAUGCAUGCAGAGUUGACACUCUUCCAAAAUAGUGGGAAUAUCAUAAAAUAAAGUCAUGACCUCUCCAGGCCCACUUUUAUCAAAAUUUCAUAACCUUGAACACUCUCCAAAUAUGUGGGAUUAUUUUUAGCUAAAGUUGACACUCUUCCAAACCCGCUUUUAAUAUUAUCGAAAGGAUUUACAUCAUGAGGUUUAAAUAAAUUUUCAAGAUCAUAAGAAUCAUUAUCACCCCAAUCAUGAUCAUUGCAAUAAGUAGUGGACAUAACAAAACAAGCAUCCCCAAGCUUAGGGCUUUGCAUAUCACUAACAUAAUUCACAUUAAUAGAAUUUAUAAUAACAUCAUUGCGAUCAUGCUUUUCAUUCAAGGAGCUAUCAUGAAUCACUUUAUAAAUCUAUUCGUUUAACACUUCAUCACAAUUUUCAGAUUCAUGAAUCUCAAGCAAAACUUCAUAGAGAUAACCUAGUGAACUCAAUUCACUAUCAAUUGGGCCAUCAUAAUUGGAUCUUUUUAAAAGAUUAUCAAGUGGAUGAGGAUACAUAUCAAUAGAAUUUUAGCAAGCAAAGAUGCAAGCAAGUAGGAGACACAUGGCAAGACAAGCAAACAUAAGAUCAAACGAGAAAAAGGCAAACAAAAAGAGGGCGAAUAAAACGGCAUAUUUUUGUGAAGUCGGGGAGAUGAAAACAAGAGGCAAAUGGAAAAUAGUGUAAAUUGCAAAGAUAUGAUAGUUGUGAUUAGGAACCUGAUAGUUGUUGAUCAUGUCUCCCCGGCAACGGCACCAGCAAUUCCUUUUGAAGUUGCUUGAAACUACGUCGGUAUUUCCCCAAAGAUGAAGGGGUGAUGCAGUACAGCUACAAUGUGUAUUUCCCUCAGUUGUGAAACCAAGGUAUCAAUCCAGUAGGAGAACCAAGCAACACUAUGUAAACAGUACCUGCACAAAAAGAACCAAUACUUGCAACCCGACGCGUAUGAGGGGUUGUCAACCCCUCCUCGGGUAACGGCGCCAGAAAUUGUCAAGUUGACGGGAUAAAAAUUGUGGUAGAUUGGAUAAAUAGAUCUCGAUAAAACACAAAAUAAAAUAAGUAAUAAAAAUUGCAGCAAGGUAUUUUUGGGUUUUUGGAUUAACACAUCUGAAAAUAAAAGCAAAUAAAAAUAGAUCUGAAAGAAAAUAUGAUAAAGAAUAGACCAGAGGGUCGUAGAUUUCACUAGUGGCUUCGCUCCAGAAAUAGCACAUGGUGGGUAAACAACUUAUUGUUGGUAAAUUGAUAGAAGAUCGAAUAAUUAUGACGACAUCCAAGGCAAUGAUCAAUAUAUAGGCAUCACAUCCAAGAUUAGUAGACCGACUACUUCCUGCAUCUACUACUAUUACUCCACACAUUGACAUCUAUCCAGCAUGCAUCUAGUGUAUUAAGUUCAUGGAGAAAUGGAGUAAUGCAAUAAGAACGAUGACAUGAUGUAGACGAGACCUCUUCAUGUAGGAAUAGCCCCCAUCUUGUUAUCCUUAAUAGCCAAGAUACAUGCGUGUCUUGCUGCCCCUUCUGUCACUGGGAAAGAACACCACAAGAUCAAACCCAUCACAAAGCACCUCUUCCCAUGGCAAGAAAAAUCGGUCUAGUUUGCCUAACUAAACCAAAUAUUCAAAGAAUAAAUACGAGGCUAUAAAUAAUCAUGCAUAUAAGAGAUGAAAGAGGACUCAAAUAAUAUUCAUGGAUAUAGAUCUGAUCAAAAACUCAAAGUUCAUCGGAUCCCAACAAUCACACCGCGAAAAGAGUUAUAUCAAAUAGAUCUCCAAGAGACCAUUGUAUUGAGAAUCAAAAGAGAGAGAGAGAGAGAGAGAGAGAGAGGAAGCCAUCUAGCUAGUGCCUACGGACCCUAGGUCUAUGGUGGACUACUCACACAUCAUCGGAGAGGCACCAAUGAGGAUGAGAACCCCUCCGUGAUGGUGUUAGAUUGGAUCUCGUGAUUCUAGAAAUUGCAGAGGCUUGAAUUGUGUUUUGUCGACUCCCCUGUGGUACUUCUUUGGCCCAAUGGGUGUUUUCUGGUCCAAAAAAUCUCCAAAAAGUUUCACUGCAUUUGGACUCCGUUUGGUACUGAUAUUCUGCGAAGUAAAAAACAAGCACAAAACAACAACUGGCACUGAGCACUAUGUCAAUAGGUUAGUCCCAAAAAAUCAUAUAAAGUUUCUAUAAAAUUAUAGUAAAACAUCCAAGAAUGAUAAUAUAACAUGAUGGAACAAUCAAAAAUUAUAGCUACGUUGGAGACUUAUCUAUGGGAUGAGGAAGUUGUAGAUGCCCCUGAGGCAAUUGAGAAUCCAGCAGUCCACUGACAUGUUGCAAGAUGCACAGGUGUUGAGAACAUGGUGGCAACAUCUGAGGAUUUUGCAGCAACAGAGGGCAUAGGAGCUGUCCUUGAGGAAGUUGCCCAAGGAAUUUGCUUUGAGGGCUUUGUAGUUGAGGGACUUGGCCGUGAGGGCAUUGAGCUUGAAGACUUUGGCUUCACAGUUGAUUUCUUCUGCAUGGCCUUCUUUGGUGAAGUCCUACUAGCAGACGCCUCGGCAACAACAGCUUGAGAAUCCUAUUGAAUUUCUUCACAGAUUCUGCAGCCGCUUUUCGAAGCUUUGCUUGGCGCUUGGCCCAUUCUUUAGUAAAUUCCUCACCACGCCUGAUGCUGGUAGGAUCAACCUCUUGAUCAUCAGCUAGAGGUGGUCUUGGGCAUGGAGGAUUUACAGCAAAUUUCUUCAUGUACUUUGGUGUAACAUAAUGAUAUUCCUUCCAUUCUUUAGCCCAUCUCCUCACUAUUCUCUGAAUGCGCGUCUUACGCUGCUUUUUGGUCUCUUGCCCAUGAGUAUCUUCAUCAGGAGUACAAUAUUCAUCAUAUAGAUCCUCAGGGAUUUCAAGUGUUGUGUUUGUCUCGGGCUUCUUUCCUCCUUUCUGAGGUCUUUUCCUUUCUGCCAUUUUCCUCACUUAAGGAUUUUGAACUUUUGAAGAUUCUGAGAAAGUAUGCAAUUUUUCUUUAAAGAACGCUGCAGAUGAGUUAAGUUGAUGAGAACCUAGAGAUUCAUCAGCAGACAUUUGUACCUGUGAACAAAGUAUUGGUGCGAAGAAUUUGAAGAGGUCAUAUGUGUUCUCAGAAUUUUUUCAACAAAUAUCAGGUUUGAGGAAUAUGACCAUAGAUGUCUUGAAAAAUUUCACUAAGUAUUCUUAACCCAGGUUCCAGAGUUGAACAAAUAUGAUAAUCCACACAAUUGAGGAAUCUUGAGGAAAAUCAGAGCUUAAAGAAAUAAGUCAAGGGAAAGAAGCUUUGCGGCGUUUAAGUAGAUUUUUGAAGAAUAAAGACCUUUAGAGGAUUUUGUGAAAUCAUAAGGAUCAAAGAAGGGCAGUAAAAUCAUACUUUAAUUACCCUUUAUGAAGAACACGACAAACUGAGAGUUAGAACUAGGAAGUUCGUCUGUCCAGAUCUCUCACGCCCUAACUCGGCAGUGGGAGACAGCUGCGGAAGCGACAGAGUGAAGAUUUCCGCGGUCGGUGCGAGUACGACGGCCUGGAGGUCGAGGUAGUAUAGCUUUUCCUCUCCGGCGGUGACGAAGCUUAGCAACGCCGCUAGGUUAGAUCUCGAGUGAGGAGAAGUGAGGUCGAGCGGAGUAAAUGAAGAAGUGAAAGGGGAGGCGUAUUUAUAGUGCAGGUGAAAAACUAAACGCCAGAAGAAUUUGCACAUUCAUACCCCUAACCCUUGCUAUCCUAUCGACAUGUGUCACCCACGUACUGAGUUGUUGAGAUCAUGGGGGGAUUGUGGGUGAGUAUUAUAAUCCUGUCGUGGGAAGUGGGAUAGGUUUGAGCGGCAACUUCAAAAAAAUUGAUAUGAAAGUUUUAAUAUUUCGUUCGCAAAUUCUUCAGUUGACAAGGAUGCAAUGAAGACUUUGAACGGGUUUCAAAUAGAACACAUAUGAAGAAUUUGUGAACAGAAUGGGUUGAGUUUGGCAUAGAGGGGGAACGGGUUCGAUCACAUUCACUUGAAGAAUUAGCAAUAAGAGAAUGCUAUUGGGGACAUCGAAAACUCAUAUNNNNNNNNNNNNNNNNNNNNNNNNNNNNNNNNNNNNNNNNNNNNNNNNNNNNNNNNNNNNNNNNNNNNNNNNNNNNNNNNNNNNNNNNNNNNNNNNNNNNNNNNNNNNNNNNNNNNNNNNNNNNNNNNNNNNNNNNNNNNNNNNNNNNNNNNNNNNNNNNNNNNNNNNNNNNNNNNNNNNNNNNNNNNNNNNNNNNNNNNNNNNNNNNNNNNNNNNNNNNNNNNNNUAUAUAUAUCGUCACCCUGGGUGAGGAAUAGUUAUUCCUCACCCCAGCCAGCCUUUGCACCCCCUUCCACCCAGUUCGCACGCUUUCAUUCUGGCCGAUGUAAGAUUCUUUGCAUGCAGAAGUAAUCUUAUAGUGUGGAACGGACGGACAUCAGAGACAUGCACGCACCUACCCUGCACGUCCGUAACUUUAUGACCAACAGACUAGGUAAAUUACCACUAUGCUACACUGCUCUACGGCUCUACCCGUAACUUUAUGUCUCUCUAUCGUCGAUCUUGUUUAGUUUCUUCUAAGACAUCGAUCAAUUUUGAACGGGCUCUACUGGAUAUUUCUAUAUAACCAGUCAACUUUUUGGACAAAGGAAAUCUUGCAGUUAAUUCCUAAGCCAGUAAGAAAUAUAGAAUCCAACACAAACGAGAUACACAUUCUACUAAUUCAGCUGAGAGUAGGAAUUUGCCAGCGUAGGAAAUUUGAGAGCAGACGUAAACAAGAGUAUCACCAAUGCAUGGUCCACGGAUUGAAUGUACUGUCAGCAUAGGAAUUAAGAUGUGUAACGAUGGCCAAAUGUAUUAAAUUACACGGCAUAUUCCAAAUUCUUUUGUUACAUUAUUUCCAUUAAACGAUCCUGAAGGUCAUCUCAUCAGCCUCCAUGGUGGCUGACUGACUCCGAUAUCAAGAUUCUACAUUAUUACAGGAUAAAGGACAAAGUAAAUAGUUGAUUGGAUGAACGGCAGCCAAAUUUUGCUUCAUUUCUUCAUAUCCAAACGCAUCUCGGGGGGAUAGUCAAUGAGGCAUUUAUCCAUGGUAAGCAUUGUAGAAACAUUCAUCUCACAGAGUCACAAUUGCAGGGACAACCAUAGUCUUCAACCUCUUCCAUUUAUCACAAGAUAAAUUCCUUUUCUUUGACAUAAUUAAUGGAGGCAAUAUCUGAGGAUAAUCCCAUACGUAUGAAAGAUGCACACGUGACGAUUUAUAAAAUGGAUUCUAUAAACCAUCGAGUUCUUCAAUUUCAGCGAUGGUAGAGGAUGCUCGACCAAGUACGCUUAGUCCCGUUCUACACCUCGCCUUGGUCGCUGUUGAUAGAUUUUUACUGUAGACGGUGCUACAUGCCAAAAAUGCUAAAGUUGCCUUUUCAUGAUUUAUAGAAAGGAACACCGAAGCCGGUUGCUUACAUGAAACCCAUGCUCGUACUUGAAGAAACUUAGUUUCCAUUCUGAACCCUUUGUUCAACACGACAUCAUGUGGGGAAUAUACUGAGAAUCAGCUAUAUAAUAUUUAGAAAGUACAAACUAAGAUGAAAUAAAUAAUUACAAAGUUAUACAUGAAAGAAGAUGCUACAGUUUUACCUUUUCCCUCAUUCUAGUUGGGACGUUCAGGGACAAUGCGAAUGUUCAAUAAUAAAAUUCAGUUGGACAGAGAAGAUGAGAUUCAGCUUUUGAGAAACAGGGUGUACUGUCAUCCACAACAAAAUAAAGAUAAUGAAUAACACUGCAACAUAAAACAUAAUAACAGCGCCGUGUUCCAAGAAAGCAACCUCAGGAAACCACAAAACAGACGUGAUGUGAACAAAUAUUUUAUAGGCAAGCAGAUGGGCAUAUUUACUGAUUUUGAGAACUCUCCCAUGGUACAAUGCACACAAAUAGAACUCGCUUCUCCAUAAUAACAUAAAGUUGAAGGAGGGAUCUUCCGCCUUUAACCUUGUUUCUUUUUCAUAUUUACUGAUUUUUAAGCAAGACUGAUUAUUUCUGAAUACCAAGCAUGUAAGAUUAUGAUGCAUUUUCUGGUUGACAUUGCAACUGGCAAUUAUUAAGCUUUUAUAGAAAAUAGGUGUUUAUUCAUUUAUGUACCAGUAACAGUCAUGAAGAAAACCACGCAACAUAGUGAAGGUCCUUUCCAUACUUGUGUAGACAACUUUAGCUUGAAAAGCUACAGUGCACAUAUGUGAAUAGGUUGCGCCAGUAAGCUUCAACAGAUGCACAUUACUACUACAUAGUGAAGGUCCUUUCCUCAAUUUUUAAAUCACCUAACAUAACAUAACACAACACAAGAACUGAGAGGAGGAGAAUCUGGCAGAGAUGGAAUGAAAUCUCAUAAACCUAGAUUUCCGUACAAGGAAGAGGAAGAGGAGGAGGAUGCAGGUAUCCUUACAAGAGAACAAAGCAUCCACCGUCAUAGUCGACGGUGUCGCUGAUGGUCGUGUAUGGAAAGGGAUAGGUGGGCAGCAUCGUACGCCUCGGCUCGAAACAAGUACUAAGCUUGUAGCAUAGAUAUGGCCAAAACAAAUAAAUUUGGGACUAAGAUCAAAGCCGAAAACACAAUGAUUCGCCUCUGCAUAUAUGGGGACGUAAUAUAUGUAAAUUCAGAUAACUAAAUUCCGUACUAAAUGUAACCAAAUUGGAGCAAGUACUUGCCAUGGGAGAAUAAAUUGACAUACACUCAUCUAAAUCGAUGGAGAGGGGCUCCGGCGGUGAAGACAUGGUUGCCGACCAUCGUGGUGGGAGGAGAUGCAGACUGCAUCAAGAAGCAUGCCAAUGGCCACCGUAACCUGACGCCGAUGAACACCAACGACACUAUACUGCGAACCCCCAUCUUAUUGCAAAAAUUAGAGUGGUCCUAAGAAAAAUACAUACUAAUAUCCACAGAAAAGCUAACUAAAAUCAAUUCCUCAUAUGUGCAUUUCCUGAAACAAUGAGCCUAAACUCCAAACCCAUUCAAACCAAUAUUGUUAAUUAAAUUCGAAACAUGUAAAAAGUUGAAUGGUUUACCCUAGGCCUAGCUGACUAAAACAAAACUACAAAUCUUCAUCAUGGACCCAGAGCUUAAGCACUUUAAACAACAAACCAAAUAAUCUCCCUACAUCACCUUACUUCUACGUGACAAAAUCUUAGCCAUUACGGAGCAUUUGAUGCUUCCAAUCACAGAGCAAAAAAAUUCUACACAAGCGCUGCUCCAUCUCAAUGAUUGAUCUCAACAUGGACUGAUGGACUGGAACAGACAGCAGAGAGAAAAUUCCCAGGCUAAAAAUACAUUCGCCCAAACUAUUUGGAGAUAGAAAACAAACAAGAAUCUGAAAUUUUUCCUAAGACAAACAAGAAUCGGAUUACCUCUUCGGGCAGGACGUACAGUCGUGAUCUGUCCAGUCUGCAGCCUCCGCAAAAACUGAACCAAUUUAACAAUCCAUAAAGAACACGGCGAAGCAAAACGAAGUGAAAAUUGACUGAAGCUGAAAGGAUUAGGAUCGGGGCUGCUCACCUCCGCCAGUGCUCUCUUCACCUGUACACAUCCAACCAAAUUAAAGCCAGAUCUAGCGAAAAUGUUGUCGGUGUUGGCAAAGGGAGGCACACAAGCCACGGUCACCCACCACAGCACCGCCGCUCGCCGCCCCCUUGAAUCGGCAGCGCCGCCAACAUUGAUGCGAGGCGCCGCUCACCACGCAGCCCGCGCUUGCCUGCCCGUCAACCACCGCACCCUCGAGCCCAGCAGCCGCCGCUCACCAUGAAGUAUUCACCGUCGAAUCUCGAACGGCUCCCAUCGCCUGAAUGAGGAGGUGGGAAGGUUUUUUUCCCAGCAAGUUAGUCCCACGACCAGCUAACCGUGUCAGUUUAUCUGGAGAGGUCACGUCUGCUUCCUAGGAAAAAAGGUAUUUUAAAAGAAAGUAAGGGCAAAUGUAAAUUACCUGUCUGACGGGCAAAAGUUACGGUGAGGCAAGUGGGAAUGGAGGUGCCAUCCGGCAUCGAACGACUGGCGUGAGCAAUAAACUAUUCUUCACCCAGGGUCAUUAAUAGAGUUAUAUAUACGGUCUAUUCUGCUAAUAUUAGCAGAAUAACUAUUCUGCACACUACUUUCGUACUGCACGCUUAACGCAAGUGCACGUCAUUCUUUGAACCAAGUGUGCUGCAGUACUCAUACGAGUGAACUUCUCAUCAGAAAAAACUGCACGCGUUAUUUUUUCGGUACUGUUUUCGCUCUAAUUUUUUAACCGCUUAUCAGAAUGAGGCAUGUAAUAUACUGUUGAAAAGCUAUGUAUUAGGCGCAACUUUGACAUGUUGAACACUUUUCGAGAUUCCACACGGUUUAAGAGCAGUUUUGAAAAUGGUGCGGCGGAUGACGAGUGGAAGCGAGCGUUUUUUCGCGUUUUUUUCUGAACCGCUUGUCGGAAUGAAGCAAAUGAUACGCUGUUGGAUAGAUAUCUUCGAGGCGCAUCUUUUUCAUAUAUAAAUCUUUCUCUAAUUCGUUAUGAUCUAAGAGCAGUUUCAAAUUUACUAAAUCGCAGAAUUUCUGUUUUUCAAGUUUUUUAAAAUUUUCGGUACUGUUUUCACUCCAGUUUUUGAACCAUUUGUCGAAACGAGGCGUGUGAUACGCCGUUGAAAAGCUACGAACGAGGAGCAACUUUCAUAUCUUGAAAUAUUUUUGAGAUUCCAUACGGUUUUAAGUUAAUUUUGAAAAUGGUGCAGCGGACAAUGAGUGGCAGCGGCUGUUUUUUGCAAAAAUUUUGCAAACCGCUGGUCGGAAUGAUUCAAACGAUACGCUGUUGGAAAGAUAUCGAUGAUGCGCAACUCUUUCAUAUAGAACACUCUCUCUAAUUCUUUACGGUUUAAGAGGAAUUUCGAAUUUACCGAAAUGCGGACACUCUGUUUUUCGCGACACACAAAUCGACGUGGGUACUUCAUCCGACUAAAAACCGCACUGCAUCGGAUGGAAAACUGCACUGCAUCAUACGGGUAAGAGAACUGCAUGGUUUUGUUCAGAAUGAAAACCGCACUGCAUCGAACGGGCAAGUGAGCUGCAUAAUUUCUUUUGUCGGGCGUUAUUUUUCUCAUACGAGUUUUGUUGUCUUUUUUUUAUGAACGAGAGUGGACCGCAGAACUAGGGCAAGUGAACCACAUCAUAUAUCGAAGUGGACCGCAUUACCAUCUCAUUAUUUCACUAAAUUUUUAGCACAUUCAUGUUGGGCACAAGUGAACGACAUCACUCUAAAAAAUGAACCACAUUCAAGUACCAAAUGCACUGCAUGUGUUGAUGUAGUUGACUAAAUUUUGAUACACAAGAAACAAAUUGCACUUCAUACAGAGAGGUAAUGAAACUUCAUUCUUUUUACGCAAACGGUACACACGAGACACCAAAUUCAGCAUACGAGACACUUGAUUUCUUCGUCACACGAUGAGCUAGCGCACUGCAAGCCCAUGUUUCUGAACCGCAUGAGGUGCCCUAAACUAUAGUGCACUAAACAUACAAAGAAAACACAAACCCGUCACACAAAUAGAUGGUGCUUCCUGGGAAAGAACAUGCCAAAGCACUGCAAAACACUUCCUGCACCCAUGCACCAGACUGCAAGUGCACCAUAACGAAACCACAUGAAUACAUUGCUCAAACUGCAACAAAAUCAUACAUAUAGACAUGUAGCGAACAUCACUUCAAGAUUACUCCUAGAAGCGAACAUCACUUCAAGAUUACGAACAAAACAAAAAUAAACCACAACAUCCCGUCAAAAGACAAAGUUAGUUUCCCGCAGCCGCGAGGGUGAGCCGCCCAUGAACCACCACAAAAUGAGAAGGAGGGCACUGCAGUAGGACCAGAGUGCACCACUGCCCCCACCGGAGUGCACUGCAGCAGGACCAGAGUGCACCACUGGCCCCACCGGAGUGCAAUGCGGCUCCGAACUCCACCAUCCGAGCUGCUCACACCCCUGAUGUGGGAUGCAUCCUGCAACAAAAAGCGGUCGCCGGCGCACUGCCGCGGAAGAAAACUGCACACGCCCAAGCGCACUGCUACACACACCCAAGCGCACUACUGAACAACGGUACAGCUAACCUACACACGCCACCGGAUUGCAAGCAUGGUCGCCAAUGGACUGGACAUCCAAUCGCACCGCACUGCGCCCCAAUAGUGCCCAAGUGAAAUCAGAAAAAACAACAAAAAAACAAUCAAUGGGGAGGAGAGGACGCUCAAGGCCGGUGGUUGCAGCGCCGUGGAUGACGACGAGGGAGGACGGCAGAGGCAAGCGGUGGCCGGCGAACCUGCAUGAAGACGGGGCCGCGAACAAGCUGCACUGGUGCCUCAACUGAGCUCCAUGAGGUGGGCGGCGCCAGAGCACCAUGGAUGGCGCAGAUGAGGCCCUAGCCGGAGAUCGCCACGAGGAGGAGAGAGCUCGUCCUCGACGUUUUCGGGUGGGGGCGGUGCUGCUCAGGGGAGGGAAGAACUUGGAUCCAACAAGGGAUCCAUGGGUCCGUGGCCAGUGAAGAUGUGGUCGGGGUUGGAGUUUGCAUCGGUCGGGUGCGGAGAAGAAGAAGGCGUGGCGGUGCCGGCCACCAUCACAAGGGAACGGCGGAGGAGCUCAUGCACUGCUCGAUGCCGGAUCCAGCCACCGGCGGGCAUCUACCCCGAGCACAGAUCGAGGCGGCAUUCAGGUGAAGGAAUGGGGAGGGGAGACUGCCGAUGGGAAAGCCUGGCCGGAUCCAGCCGGGGCUGUGCGCGGUGGAGGUGGGGGUGCCUGUGGUGGCUAUGGCCACCGUGGAGUGGGACNNNNNNNNNNNNNNNNNNNNNNNNNNNNNNNNNNNNNNNNNNNNNNNNNNNNNNNNNNNNNNNNNNNNNNNNNNNNNNNNNNNNNNNNNNNNNNNNNNNNNNNNNNNNNNNNNNNNNNNNNNNNNNNNNNNNNNNNNNNNNNNNNNNNNNNNNNNNNNNNNNNNNNNNNNNNNNNNNNNNNNNNNNNNNNNNNNNNNNNUGGGAUGGGUGGGAGGUGGAUCGAGAGGAAGGUGGGGUGGGUCGUGGGGAAUGGGUCUGGGAGUUUUAUUUUGUUCAACUUUGUUCUUGCGGGGAGGUGCGUGUUCAGUUCGGUGCGCGGGCAGUGCAUUCCUGUUAGCAGAAUAAGAAUUAGUGUUAGCAGAAUAAGGUCUUAAGGGUGUUAUUAGAAUAGACCCACCCUAUAUAUAUAUAUGUGUAUAUAUAUAUAUAUAUAUAUAUAUAUAUAUAUAUAUAUUAGUCAAGGAAGAACACCAGUUGUAAAGUUUGACAAAAUUGCAAGUUUGGGGAAUUUGAAAAUUUGAAUAAUUUGCAAAAUGAUGAAAAACUCAAUUUUGAAGACUUUCAAGUAUGGUUGGUGGCGUGACCCACCGUAUAAGAAUGAUGAUUUCAUACACCACGUACAAUUGUCAUAGGGUUCUGAGAAUCAAAUUCUUCAUUAAUUUCUUCACACUUAGAGGGUAAGUCUUCAUUGAUUGAAGAAAUUACUUCGUGUGUUGCACAUCAAAGUCAUCAAUUUUACAUAAGUGUUAGGAUAUGUGUCCUUUCAAAGAACAUUCGAAGAUUCUAAGAUAUUUAGCUCAUACCGCAACUUGCAAAAUAUAUUUUCAUCCAAGGGCUUUGUGAAUAUAUCAUCUAGUAGUUCUUCAGUCUUCACAUGGUCGAUGAAGUUGUCGCCCUUCAACACAUAAUUUGAAAGAAAAUGAUGAUGAAUCUGGAUGUGCCUUCUUCGAGUGCUGAACUGGGUUGUGGGCACUCUUGAUGGCACUCUCGUUGUCGCAGUAGAGAGCACAUUCUUCACAUUGAUGCCAUAAUCUCAAGGGUUUGCUUCAUCCACAGCAAUUGAGCACAACAAGAACCACCAGCAAUGUACUCAGCUUCAGUAGUAGAAAGUGACACACUGUUCUACUUCUUCGAGGACCAACAUACUAAGGAUCAUCCAAGGAAAUGGCAUGUGCCUGAUGUUGAUCUGCGAUCCACCCGAUCGCCAGCAUAGUCAGAGUCAGAAUAUUUAAUGAGAUCAAAAGUCAAGCCCUUGGGAUAUGAUAAUCCAAGUGUUGGAGUGUGAGCUAGAUAUUGAAGAAUAUGUUUCACAACCUUAUGGUGUGAUUCCUUUGGUGUAGCUAGAAAAUGGGCACACAUGCAAAUACUAAGCAUAAUAUCUGGCCUGGAUGCACAUAGGUACAAUAAGGAUCCAAUCAUGGAGUGACAUACCUUUUGAUCGAAAUCUUUACCAUUUUCGUCGGUGCAGAGUUGGCCAUUUGUGGGCAUAGGGAUUUUGACGCCUUUGCAACUUGCAUGCCGAAUUUCUUCAGGACAUCCUUGAGGUAUUUCUCUUGAGAUAUGAAGAUGCCAUUGUGUGGUUGACGAAUUUGAAGACCUAAGAAGAAUUUCAAUUCUCCCAGCAUAGACAUUUGAUAUUCUUCACUCAUCAUAUAGGCAAAUUCCACUAUAACAUUUGUCAGUACAACCAAAGAUAAUAUCAUCCACAUAUAUUUGGCACACGAAUAAUUCAUGAUCGUAAAUAUUUGUGAAAAGAGUUGGGUUAAAUGAACCGGGUUUGAAGCCUUUCUUCACGAGGAAUUCCUUCAGUGUGUCAUACCAUGCUCGAGGGGCCUACUUGAGGCCAUAGGGGGCCUUGUUGAGUCUGAAGACUUUGUCAGGAUGCUUAGGAUCUUCAAAACCUAGGGGUUGAGCAAUACUUCUUCCUCAAGCUUACCAUUGAGGAAUGCACUUUUCACAUCCAUUUGAUAUAAGAUAAUAUUGUGAUGAAUAUCAUAUCCAAGCAAUAUGCGAAUAGCUUCAAGUCUAGCAACAGGUGCAAAAGUUUCAUCAAAGUAAAUUCCCUCAACCUGUGUGUAGCCCUGAGCUACAAGACGAGCCUUAUUCCUUGCACUAUGCUUGACAACCUUGUGGUGAUAGGUGAAAUACCAAGUAUAGUGUGAGCCAUCUCAACGAGAGUCAUGUUCUUGCGCUCCAUGAUGCCUUUCUGCUGAGGAGUGUAGGGGUGGAUAACUCAUGAGUAAUACCAAGUUCAUCAAGAUAGUCAUCAAGACCAGUGUUCUUGAACUCGGUCCCAUUAUCACUCCUGAUAUGCUUGAUCUUCACACCAAAAUUCAUCGAGGCCCUUCAAGAAAAUCGUGUGAAGACUUCCUGCACUUCAGUUUUGUACAUGAUGAUAUACACCCAAGUGUAACGAGAAUAAUCAUCAACAAUCAAAAAGCCAUAUAAUGAUGUUGCAUCUGUUAGUGUGGCAUAAUGAGUGGGGCCAAAGAGGUCCACGUGAAGCAAUUCAAAAGGACGAGUGGUAGUCAUGAUAGUCUUCAAGGGAUGCUUGGAUCUGGUCAUAUUUCCAACCUCACAAGCCCCACAAAGAUGAUCUUUGAGGAAUUUGACACCCUCGAUGCCGAUGACGUGCUUCUUCUUCACAAGUGUGUGCAAGUUCCUCAUGCCAGAAUGACCAAGUCGUCGAUGCCAUAUCCAACCUUCUAAAGCUUUUGCAAGUAGACAUGUGGCUGGUUGUGGUCCUGCAGAGAAACCAACAAUAUACAGGUCUCCUCUCCUAAAACCUUCAAAGAUUUUGGAUUUAUUAGAUUCCAUGAGUACUAUGCAAUGAUAUUUGCCAAAGAUGACAACCAUAUAAAGGUCACAAAGCAUUGAGACAGAUAUGAGGUUGAAUCUGAGACGAUUCGACAAGCAUGACUUUGUCCAUGUGUUGAUCAUUUGAGAUUGCAACCCUACCUAGACCCAAUACCUUGCUUUUUCCAUUGUCAGCGUAGGUGAUAUGCUUCAGAUGUGAUGGACAUAAAGCAGAGUCCAUCACUAAGUUCUUGUCGUUAGUCAUGUGAUUUGUACAUCCACUAUUGUGGACCACUCAGUAGCUUGGAGAGAUUCAUCCUGCACAUGAAUCAGUGCAUCUUAAGAACUCAUAUAAUUCAGAGUGAAGAAUAUGACAUCAAGUUCAUCACAUAGAAUUUCAUCAAGUACUGCAAUAGAUAAAUCAAUAAGGACGUGAUAAAUGAGUAAUUUAUUUCUUCAUGAUUAGCUUGCAUCCUUUCAAGCACUCUCAAGUCUCCAGCAAAUUCUUCAGACGUUCAAGUUCGUCUGGAGACCUGACUCUACAUAAGAGAUUAGUUCUUUUUCUUCACCACCCACAUCUGGAGGGGUGGCAAAGAGUUCGUCAUUAUAAGAUCUCCAUAUGAGAAAGGUGGCAUUGAAGCCCGUGCACUUCAUUCGCAGUAGAGGGGUUAAAGUACGCAUAUGUAUAAGCACAGAAAUUCUUCGAUGAAUUAUGAACAUAAUGAUUUGAAGAGUAAUGCACAUAUUCAUGGCCCUUAGAUUUUCCCUGCGAAACAGAUGCAUUAGCACGAGGAUAUGUGUACUUUUGACCAUAUGAGGAAUUUGAUCCAUGUGAAGACUUUGGUCCAUAUGAAGAAUUUGAUAUGGGGUUCCUAUUCUUCACAGGUGGUGUCAUGAGGACAUUCACUUGAAGACUUUCAAGGCACCUUUUGGGAACCCAGAUUUUCUUCAUAGGGGGGGCGUUCCAGCGGUUAGUUCCAACAUAUCUAGCAAAUAUUUCACCAUUUUGAUUUUUGAAUAGUUUAUAGUUGGAGUCAAAUGACUCAUCAGAUGAACAUGAAGAUUCACAUGUAAAGCCAGAUAAAGUAGAUGGAUCUACAAGAGGUCCUGUUGCAGCAACCCAUGAGGUUUUCGGAUAGUGCUCAGGUUUCCAGUAGGAUCCAUCAACAUUGACUUUCCUCUCAAAUGAAUUACCCUCUUUCCUAGGGUUCCUGUUCAGGGUAUGCCUUCUAAGCACAUCACAAAGGGCUUGAUUCCCAUUGAGGCUUUUGUACUUGCCUAUCACAUACAAUUCCUUCAACCCUGUAUUUUUGUCAGUGAUACUUGUGGUAUCCUCAGAUGAGGAAUUUGUGACCACGGAAAUAGUUGAAGAAGUUGCAGCAAUAGAAGCAUUUGAACUUUCAGGUGAAGAAUUAGCAGUCUCACGUUUGAUGCAUUUCAAAUAGGGUGGAAUGAAUUCUUCCUGAGUGGAACUGAUUUGUUGGGAAAGCAAACAAUCAUUUUCCCUUUGAAGAUCAUCAUGAAUCACUCUUAGUUUCUCAUGAUCUUGCUUUCUUUGAAGAAAUUCAUAUGAAAGGUUCUCAUGAUCGUCUAAGAGAGUUUGAUGACGACAUUGAAGGUUAUCAAACUUAGACCGAAGACGUUAAAGAUCAUCAGUUAGAGUCUGAGUUUGAUUCACUUCCUCACUCAAUAGGUCAUCCCUUUUCUCUAGCAAGUUUUGAACCCUUUCCAAAGCUUUUUGUUGUUUCGUGGCAAUACUAGCAAGUUUGGAAUAGCUAGGUUUGAGAUUUUCAUCAGAUUCACCUUUACUAGAUUCAGAGGAAGGAUAUUUGAGUACCUUGGCACCUUUUUCCAUGAAGCAAUAGGUGGGAGAAAAGUCAUCAUCUCCAUUGUUAGUAGUGUUGGAGUUGCCAUUUUCCCCAUAGUUGAAGAUGGACUUGCUAACGAAAGCACUAGCAAGAGCUAGGCUCGCCACACUAGAGUCUGACUUCUCAGAUUCCUCCUCUUCCUCAUUUUCUUCAGAUUCAGCUUUAAAAUCCAUUUCCUUGACAAUAAAUGCCCGAGCCUUUCUGGAACUGCUCUUCUUGUGAGAUGAAGACUUUGAAGAUUUUGAUGAUGUGGACUUUGAAGAUUUCUGCUUUUUCUUUGAGUCAUUUGAAAUGUCAUCUUAAUUUGUAAUUCUUAUUCUUUGAUUCCUUCUCCCACUGAGCAUAAUCAACAAUGUAGUGACCAGACUCCUUGCAUUUGUGACAAGUCCUUCUCUUGUUGUCGCGGGAUGAAGAAUCUGAUCUCAUGUCAUCACCUCUUGAUGAUUUUCCAAAACGGCCACACCUUGAUAACUUCUAGAAUUUCCUCAUGAGCAUUGCUAGCUCCUGGCUUAGUUCUUCAGGGUCACCAAGGCUACUGUCAGAGUCUUCCCCUUCAGAUGAGGAAAUUGCCUUGGCCUUCAGAGCAUGUGAUCUUCCAUAGCUUGGCCCGCAGAGGUCUCUUUUCUCAGCUUGUUGGAAUUCACGAGUAUUUAGCCUCUCGAGAAUAUCAGUCGGAUCCAGUGAAUUGUAAUCUCCUCAUUCUUGAAUCAUCAGUACCAGUGUAUCGAAUGAAGAAUCGAGAGAUCUCAGCAAUUUCUUCACCACCUCGUGGUCGGUGAUGUCGGUAGCACCAAGAGCUUGGAGCUCAUUGGAGAUAUCAGUAAGACGAUCGAAAGUUUGAUGAACAUUUUGUUGUCGAGUCUUUCGAAGUGGCUAAAGAGAUUACAAAGAACGUCAACUCGAGAAUCACAUUGGGUUGAGAUUCCUUCGCUGACCUUGGAUAGCCUAUCCCGGAUAAGGUUUGCAGUCUCCAAAGCACUCACUAUGCCGCAUUGUCCUUUGCUCAGAUGGCCACAUAUGAUAUUCUUUGCUUGAGAGUUGAGUUGCUUGAAUCUUUUCACAUCAGCAGCGUUUACAGCGGGAGUGAUGGAGGGAACACCAUUUUCCACAACGUACCAGAAAUUGUUGUCAAUUGCCUCAAGAUGCAUGCUUAUGUUGUUCUCCCAGUAGGGGUAGUCCAUCCUACCGAAGGUAGGACACCCAGCCGAGACCUUGAUCAUGCCUGCAGUCGACAUAACUAAAACUCCAGGUGGUUGAACCAAAAUCACACAGAAAAAUGGAGUACCUUGCCAUGAUACCAAUUGAAAGUGCGUUAUGUCGACUAGUGGGGGUGAAUAGGUGAUUUUUACAAAUUCAUCACUCAGGAAUUUCUACUUGAGGAAUUUGCUAAGUGACAAAAUACAAGCAGGGGAUAAAGUACUCAGGUGCAAGCAUAACAUGGUAGUAACAUAGUCAUCAUGAUGAGAUGAAGCAUACACAGAGCACAAGUAGCAUGUAAAGAGGAUAAGCAUGUAGAAGAUAAGGUGACUGAAGAAUUUGGGUUGAGGAAUUGACAAAGUCUUCAAUCAAAGUCUUCAAACAAUAAUAAUAAAUUUCAUCAACGAGUAAACGAGGAAAUGAAAGGGUUGAGGAAAUAGAACUAGUAGCUUGGUGAAGAUAGCGAUUUGGUAGACCAGUUCCAACUACUAUGACAGUUGUACGUCUGGUUGGAGCAGAUUUGUAUUUAAAACAAAGGACACAUAGUCCUAGGACACACAAUCCUUACCAUAUUAUUCUUGAGCUACGGUCACACAGACCAUGCCCAAUUACUCAUGGUAAGUCUUCAAGGUGACUUCCAAACCUUCACAAACUCGGUCACCCGACGAUCCACAAUUCCUCUUGGAUGCUCUAGACCAUGACACCUAACCGUCUGGAACAUUCACAGUCUUCAAAGGUAAAACGCGUCACCUCCAGACAGGAACAAUCUCUUAAGUUAUGCUCAAUCACUUUGGGUUUUAAGUGUUGGGGUUUUGGGUUUUUUCUCACUGAUGAUUUUCUCUAAAAGUCCUCGGAGGAUGGGAUGCUCUAAAUAACACUUGUCAAUCUCUCCCGGAGUAGCCAACCAGCUACUGGUUAAGGGGGCGGCUAUUUAUAGUAAGGAUGCAACCUGACAUGAUAAGACAAAAAUGCCCCUAAUGAUAUGACCGCUAUGCGGAUAAGAUAUCUGGACAGCUGGUGCAAAGCACAAAAUCGGUUAGAAAUUCUAACCAUGAAAUUCCUCAGGGCUAUCAUGUUCCUCACUGUAGGCAGUUAGGCUGGCAAAUUCCUAACUCCUCGGUCAGAACAAAUUCCUUAGAUACUAGAAGAACUUCGUCUCUGUUACUGAAGAGAUUGACUGCACUGCAAGAGAUUUCCAAAGGCUUCACUCGAAGGAUUGGGUAUGUGUAGGCUCUGAGAUGAGCAUCACAUGUAAAUUUUUCCUUAGUAUUACCUCGCCCCCCUUUAACAGUAUGGUGUUUCCUAUGAUUGAAAACAAGGAAACAAAACUGAGAAAACAAAAGUCUUCACGCUUCAUGGUCCUCGCAUCAAUAUCUUCAAGGCCACACCAAUUUUCACAUUUUCAAAGUCUUCAAGAAAAGCACAAAGUCUUUAGAUGAAGACAUUCAUUUUUAGGGGUCGACAUUCAUCGGAUAUAUAAAACUCCUCAAAGACUUAUAAGUCAUGUGUACACUCACAAGACAUUAGUCCCUUUACCUAUAAGUCUUCAAUACACCAAAAUCACUAAGGGGUACUAGAUGCACUUACAAUUAGGUUGUGUACUAAUGCAAGAGUGAAGGGUGAUUGCUUAUGCCUCUCGUCAGUUGCGCCCUCACGAAGAGAACUACCCAGUUCAUGACCUCGAGCUUGUUGCAGUCAUAUAUGCACUAAAGCUGUGGCGACAUUACCUUCUCGGUAAUCAUUGCGAGAUCUUCACUGACCACCAAAGUCUAAAGUAUCUGUUUACUCAGCCAGAUCUGAACCUCUGUCAGCAAAGAUGGAUGGACGCCAUAGAAGAUUAUAACUUGGGUAUUUCCUAUACCCCAGUCAAGGCUAAUGUGAUGGAUGGUUCCUUGAGACACAAGUCCUAUUGCAUCCACCUCAAGGUUCGAAAAGUUCAGCCCCUUCUUAAUGAAGAAUUCAGUAAGCUGAACCUCCAUAUUGUUCCUCCGGGUUAUCUCGCUCCCCCUCCUGAAGAAUUUCAAAAGAUGAACCUCCAUGUUGUUCCCCAGGGUUCUCUCAAUACCCUGGUUUCUUAACCAGAUCUCGUGGGCGACAUCCAGACUAUUCAGCACUAUGACUCUCAAGUGGAGAAGAUUAAAUGCUAUCUCGCAUAAGGAAGGCCCUCAUUUUUCACUAUUGGUGACGAUGGUGCUUUGUUCUUCAAAGGUAGCCUAGUGGUCCCUACAAAAGACAAAUUGGAUAUGACUCCGAAGAUUAUGGAAGAAGCUCAUGAUACACCUCUGUCUAUUCAUCCUGGUAGUACAAAGAUGUACGAAGACAUUUGUCGGAAAUUCUGGUGGUCAAAUAUGAAGCAACACAUUGCUUGCUAUGUUGAUGAGUGUGACAUUUGUCGUCGAAUCAAAGCAGAACAUCAGAGACCUGCUGGAACUCUGCAACCUAUUACUAUUUCGGAAUGGAAAUGGGACCAUUUCAAAUGGACUUUGUUAGUAGUUUUCGCAGAUCACAGAAGGGAAAUGAUGCCAUUCUUGUUACCAUUGACCGACUUUCCAAUGUUGCACAUUUUCUCCCAGUCAAGGAAACAAUCACUACUAGUCAGCAGCCAGAUCUCUAUGUUUCCAGAAUUGUGUCACUUGAUGGUAUUCCUUUGGUAAUCAACUCAGACCGUGGUAGUCUUUUCACUUUAGGAUUCCGGGAAAGUUUCCAAGAAGCCAUGGGAACUCAUCUGUCCUUUAGCACCGGUUUUCUCCCACGGACAUGUUGAACGAGUCAACAAAAUUCUAGAAGACAUGCUUCGAGCUUGUGUCAUUUCCUUCAGCAAGAAAUGUGAGGAAUCUCUCCCACAUGUUGAGUUCUCUUACAACAAUACUAUCAAGCUAGUCUGAAGAUGGCCCCCUUCAAAGUGUUAUAUGGACGAAAGUGUCGAACUCCUCUAAAUUUGUCAGAAACUGGGGAACGAUCACUGUUCGGUGUGGAUAUUAUCCAAGAUGCCGAAGAACAAGUCUGCGUUAUCUAUGAGAAUCUAAAGACUGCUCAGUCUCAUCAGAAGAGUCAGUAUGACCGUCAUCACAAAGAUAUGGUCUAUCGACCUUACGAAAAGGCUUACCUUUGAGUCACACCGAUGGAAGGUGCUCAACGCUUCGGGAUCAAGGGCAAGCUAGCUACUCGCUACGUUGGUCCAUUCACCAUUCUUGAAAGACAUGGAAAAGUGGCAUGUCAAUUGGAACUAUCGCCGAAACUUUCUUAGGUUCACGAUGUCUUCCAUGUGUCACAGCUCCACCGCUGCUUAAAGAACCCCAUCCGAGCAGUGAACUACGAAAUGCUUGAACUGCAACAAGAUCUCUCUUAUAAGGAGCAUCUGGUCCACAUACUUGAUCAAGUUGAACGUCGCACCCGUUAGAAGGCGAUCAAAUUUCUUAAAGUCCAGUGGUCAAACCAUUCUGAAGAAGAAAGCACUUGGGAACGCGAGGAUCGUCUAUGUGAUGAAUACCCCGCCUUGUUUCUGUCUACCUCCUAAAUCUCGGGACGGAUAAUUAAGCUACAAUGAUACCCUACUAAUGGUGCCAAGUCAUCAAAAUUAUUGUUGCUAAAUCUCACUUUGAUUCAAACACAAUUCAAAUUCAAAUCUAAAUUAAAGUCAAAUAAUUAAAGGUUUCAAAUGUCAAAACUAAAAUGUUCGUAAUGUGGUAAAUAAUCCAUAGAGAAAUAUGGUGAAGAAAUCAGCAUUUUAUAGAGUAUUUAAAAUGCCCGAAAAUAAUUAAAACAGUGGCUAAAACAAUUGUUUAAAUGCCUUUUUAAAAAUAUAAAAAUGCAAACUCUAAUUAUGGAACAAAUUAUAUAUUUUAUAAAACUAAAAUAACAUAGAAAUAAAAUGGGAAACAUAAAAAAAUAAAAAUAAAAAUAAAAAUAAAAAGGGGAAACCUCCCUUGGGCCACUUGGCCCAGCUGUCGAUCAGGCCGGUCCACCAGCGCCCCUUCCCACCUCCUGUUCACAGGGGGCGUGGCGGCCAUCGCCAUGGCCACGACCUCCACUAGCCUCGCCGCCCCCUCAUCUACAACGGAGGAUGAGCCCCCACUUUACCCCGCCCCCCUCCGUUUCCCCUUCUGUACCGAUGCCGCCCACUCCUGCGCCCACCGCGCUCAUGGCGACCGAGCCGCGCCCUCGCCUUGCUGGGCUGCGCCGUGUCGCAUCCCGUGCCACCUACACGCGCUCGCUCGCCCGCUUGCGCUUGGCUUCCUCGCUACUCUGCUCCGCCCGCGCCCUUGCGCUACUUGCCAUGCCACACCUCUACAUAGAACCCGAUGCACGCCUCGGCCACCCCCUGCUCGUAUGGCCAUGCGCCCGCGCGCCAGAGCCGCUGGGCUGAGCGCUGCUUGCCCAGCCCGCCGCCGCCUUCGCCCACGCCAACUAUGCCCGCUGGAUGCUGCUGCGACCAUCAUACAUGAUGUUCCCCUGCUGCUUGCUCGCUCCUACACUUGUUGCUCGCCCUGCUACUGGCCGCUGUUGGGUGGUUGUCGCUAGCCACCCCCUGCCCCCACGCCACCACUCUUGCUCCGCCCACUGCCAGCCGGCCCGCCGCUACCUGCCCCGACCUGGCUGCCGGUACCCGCUGUGUCGUGCCCAGCCGGCGAGGCUGCUAGCUCUCUGCCUGCACCGGCCCCUUUUGAUUAGUGGGAGGGGGCUAACCCCCCAUAUUGGUUAAGCCUACCCCCCCUCCCCCCCACUAACAAUCGCUGACAACGGCCCCCAGCGCCCUAAUAACUAAUAAACAACAACAACANNNNNNNNNNNNNNNNNNNNNNNNNNNNNNNNNNNNNNNNNNNNNNNNNNNNNNNNNNNNNNNNNNNNNNNNNNNNNNNNNNNNNNNNNNNNNNNNNNNNNNNNNNNNNNNNNNNNNNNNNNNNNNNNNNNNNNNNNNNNNNNNNNNNNNNNNNNNNNNNNNNNNNNNNNNNNNNNNNNNNNNNNNNNNNNNNNNNNNNNNNNNNNNNNNNNNNNNNNNNNNNNNNNNNNNNNNNNNNNNNNNNNNNNNNNNNNNNNNNNNNNNNNNNNNNNNNNNNNNNNNNNNNNNNNNNNNNNNNNNNNNNNNNNNNNNNNNNNNNNNNNNNNNNNNNNNNNNNNNNNNNNNNNNNNNNNNNNNNNNNNNNNNNNNNNNNNNNNNNNNNNNNNNNNNNNNNNNNNNNCAACAACAACAACAACAACAAUAAUAAUAAUAAUAAUAAUAAUAAUAAUAAUAAUAAUAAUAAUAAUAAUAAUAAAUACCAUAAGUAAUUAAUAAAUUAAUUAAUAUUUUAAUUAAUUAAUUAGCUUAAUGGGCCAAUGACAUGUGGGUCCAUUUUGACCCAGUUCACUAGUCAACUCUUGACUGGACCCCAUAGACCCCACCUGUCAGCCUCACAGACCCCUCUUGCUGGUACACUUUUGGGUGUACCUAGUAGUUAGCCAUUUAUUUUGAAUUAAUAUUAAUUUCAGAAAAUGUUUAAAACUUUGAAAAUUAAUUUAAAAUAAUCCGUAACUAGGAUGAAAAUAAUUUAUAUAUGAAAGUUGCUGAGAAAAAUAUAACGAAUCUGAAUAUGCUAUCCGUUCAUCUGUCACAUGCCUCUAGGAUGAUGGACAUGGGUCUUUCCUCUCUGGUUCAUCUGUCCGAAAAAUGCCAAGCACCGAGAAAACAUUCCCAGAUGUUUUCUCGCUUCGUCUGUAUAACUUAGCUCUGCGUUAGGUCAGCCCUAGCACUACAUAUUGCCAUGUCAUGCAUCGUGAUGCAUCUAUUUGCUUUAUAUUUAUUGUUUCUAACCCCUUUUCUCUCCGGUAGACAUCGAGACUGACGCUACUAUUGGGUAUGACUAUGGUGUCAAUGACCCUUCCUUCUCGGCAGAGCUUCCAGGCAAGAAAAAAUCCCUUGAUCAUUCCGAUACCGCCUACUCUUUCCCUCUACUGCUUGCAUUAAAGUAGUGUUACUGUUACUGCCUUACCGUUGAUCCUAUACUGCUGCAUAGCUUGUCCUUGCUACUGUUGUUGAUAUUUCUACCUGUUAUCCUAAAUGCUUAGUAUAGGUAUGCUAGUAUUUCAUUAGUGGCCCUACAUUCUUAUCCGUCUAGCAUGCUAUACUAUCGGACCGUGAUCCCUUCGGGAGGUGAUCACAGGUAUAUAUAUACAUACUAUACAUGAUACAUGAUAUGAUUAUAGUCGGGUCGGCUCAUAGAGUACCCGCGAGUGAUUCACGGACUGAGGUCUCAAAGGAAAUUUCUCCCGACGGCCCCCUGGGUGAUUUUUUGUGGUGGAGCGAUAGGGCAGAUUGAGACCACCUAGGAGUGAGGUGGGCCUGGUCCCUGGUCGUUUGAUGUCUACUAUGCAACUUUAUUCUUGUAGACUCACGUUGGGCCUCCAAGCGCAGAGUUUUGUAGGACACUAGCAAUUUUCCCUCAAGUGGAUGACCUAAGUUUUAUCAAUCCGUGGGAGGCGUAGGAUGAAGAUGGUCUCUCUCAAACAACGCUGCAUCCAAAUAGCAAAGAGUCUCUUAUGUCCCCACCACACCAAAUACAAUGGUAAAUUGUAUAGGUGCACUAGUUCGGCGAAUAGAUGGUGAUACAAGCGUAGUAAUGAUAGUAGAUAUUGAUUUUUUCCAAUAUGAACAAUAAAAGACAGCAAGGUAGCAAUUGAUAAAACGAAGCACAAACGGUAUUGCAAUGCUUGAAAAUGAGGCCUAGGGUCCGUACUUUCGCUAAUGCAAUCUCUCAACAAUGCUAAUAUAAUUGGAUCAUAUAACCACCCCUCAACGUGUGAUGAAGAAUCACUCCAAAGUUCAUAUCUAGCAGAGAACAUAAGAAGAAAAUGUUUGUAGGGUACGAAACCACCUCAAAGUUAUCCUUUCCAAUCAUUCUAUCCAAGAGUUUGUACUAAAAUAACAACAAGUUAUCCUUUCCUAUCAAUCUAUCGAUGAGUUCAUACUAGAAUAACACCAUAUGAUACACAUCAACCAACUCUAAUGUCACCUAGAUACUCCAAUGUCACCGUGAGUAUCCGUGAGUUGAUUAUACGAUAUGCAUUAAACAAUUUCAGAUUCAUAAUAAUCAAUCCAACACAAAGAACCUCAAAGAGUGUCUCAAGAUUUCUACCAGAGAAACAAAGAUGAGAACGUGCAUCAACCCCUAUGCAUAGAUUACCCCAAUGUCACCUCGGGAAUCCACUAGUUGACAGCCAAAACACAUAUCAUGUGAACCAAUAUGAUACCCCAUUGUCACAACGGGUAUUCCUAGCAAGACAUACAUCAAGUGCUCUCAAAUCCAUAAAAGUAUUCAAUCCGAUAAAACGAAAUCUCAAAGGGAAAACUCAGUUCAUCACAACAAGAUAGAUAGGGGAAAACACCAUAUGAUCCAACUAUACUAACAAAGCUCGCGAUACAUCAAUAUCGUGCCAACUCAAGAACACAAGAGAGAGAGAUUAAACACAUAGCUACUGGUACAAACCCUCAGCCCUGAGGGUGGACUACUCCCUCCUCAUCAUGGUGGCCACCGGGAUGAUGAAGAUAGCCACCGGUGAUGAUUUCCUCUAUGAAAGGGUGCCAAAACGGGGUCUAGAUUGGUUUUUUGUGGCUACAAAGGCUUGCGGCGGCGGAACUUCUGAUCUAAGUAAGAGCUCCACAUACUCAAUCAUCAUAUAAUCUUCCAUGAUUUCUAGUACUUGAUACGUCUCCAACGUAUCUAUAGUUUUUGAUUGUUCCAUGCUGUUAUAUUAUCAUUCUUGGAAGUUUUACAAUCAUUUUAUAUCAUUUUUUGGUACUAACCUAUUGACAUAGUGCCCAGUGCCAGUUGUUGUUUUCUGCUUGUUUUUUACAUUGCAGGAAAUCAAUACCAAACGGAGUCCAAACGCAGCGAAACUUUUUGUGGAUUUUUUUAGACCAGAAGACACAAGAUGGGCCGAAUAAGUACCAGAGCGGUGCCCCGAGGGGCGCACAACCCACCAGGACGCGCCUGGGGGCCCAGGUGCGCCCAGGUGGGUUAUGCCCACCUCAGUUGCCUCCCGCACCGCCUCUUUGCUCUAUAAAUACCCCAAUAUUCUAGAAACCCUAGGGAGUCGACGAAAAUCAAUUCCAGACGCCGCAAGUUCCAGAACCACCAGAUCCAAUCUAAACACCAUCACGGAGGGGUUCAUCACCUUCAUUAGUGCCUCUUCAAUGAUGCAUGAGUAGUUCAUUGUAGACCUACAUGUCCGUAGUUAGUAGCUAGAUGGCUUCCUCUCUCUCUCUCUCUCUCUCUCUCUCUCUCUUGAUUCUUAAUACAAUGGUCUCUUGGAGAUCCAUAUGAUGUAACUCUUUUUGCGGUGUGUUUGUUGGGAUCCGAUGAACUUUGUGUUUAUCAUCAGAUAUAUGUUUUUAUCCGUGGAAGUUAUUGGAGUCUUAUUUUGAUCUCUUAUAUGCAUGAUUGCUUAUAGCCUUGUAUUUCUUCUCCGAUAUUUAGGUUUUGUUUGGCCAACUUGAUCUAUUUAUCUUGCAAUGCGAAGAGGUACUUUGUGAUGGGUUCGAUCUUAUAGUGCUUGAUCCUAGUGACAGAAGGUGAACCGACACGUAUGUAUCGUUGAUAUUAAGGAUAACAAGAUGGGGUCUAUUUCUACAAAAAUAGAUCUUGUCUACAUCAUGUCAUCAUACUUAUUGCAUUACUCCAUUUUUCCAUGAACUUAAUACACUAGAUGCAUGCUAGAUAGCGGUCGAUGUGUGGAGUAGUAGUAGUAGAUGCAGGCAGGAGUCGGUCUACUAAUCUUGGAAGUGAUGCCUAUAUAAUGAUCAUUGCCUGGAUAUCGUCAUGAGUAUUUGAAAUUCUAUCAAUUGCCCAACUGUAAUUUGUUAUUCCACCGUUUGCUAUUUUUCUCGAGAGAAGCCACUAUUGAAACCUACGGCUCCCGGGUCUCUUCUUUAAUAUAUUUUCCUUCGCGAUCUAUUUUUAUUUGCUUUUAUUUUCAGAUCUAUUAAACAAAAAAUACAAAAUACCUUGCUGCAAUUUUUUGUAAUUUAUUUUAUCUCGCAUUCCCGCGAGAUAUAUUUAUCCAAUGUACUACAAUUUUACCUAUCUUUUUACCCGUGAGGGAUUGACACCCCUCUCUUACGUCGGGUUGCAAGUAUUUAUUAUUUGUGUGCAGGAGCUGUUUACGUGGUGUUGUGUGGUUCUCCUAUUGGUUCGAUAACCUUGAUCUCAUCGCUGAGGUAAAUACCUACGUUGUUGUGCUUCAUCUAUGUUGUUGUGCUUCAUCAUCCCUUCCUCUUUGGGGAAAUACCAACAUAGUUCAAGCAAUUAUCAAAAGGAAUUUCUGGCUCCAUUGCCGGGGAGACAUCAUCAACACCAACCAGGUUCCUAAUCACAAAUCUCAUCUCCUUGCAAUUCACAUUAUUUGCCAUUUGCCUCUUGUUUUCCUCUCCCCACUUCACAAAAAAUGCCAUUUUGUUUGCCCAUUUCUCGUCAGAUCUCAUGUUUGCUUGUGUUUCCAUGUGCCUUCUAUUUGCUUGCAUCUUUGCUUGCUAAAAAAUUAUUGAUAUGGAUCCUCAUCCACUUGCUAAUCUUUUCAAAAGAUCCAAGUGUGAUGAAACAAUUGCUAGUUAAUUGAGUUCAUUAAAUUAUCUUUAUGAAGUUUUGCUUGAGAUUUAUGAAUCUAAAAAUUGUGAUGAAGUGUUAAAUGAAGGAAUUUAUGAAGUGAUUCAUGAUAGCUCCUUGAAUGAAAAGCAUGAUUGCAAUGAUGUUAUUAUAAAUUAUAUUAAUGUCAAUUCUGAUAAUAAUAUGCAACACCCCAAGCUUGGGGAUGUUAAUUUUGAUAUGUCAACUACUUAUUGCAAUGAUCAUGAUUGGGGUGAUUCUUCUUAUGAUCUUGAAAAUUUAUUUAAGCCUCACGAUGAAUAUGUUUGCAAUAAUAUUGAAAGUGGUUUUGGAAGAGUGUCAACUCUAGGUAAAAAUGAUCCACUACUUUGGAGAAUGAUCAAUCUUAUGAAAUUUUUGAUAAAAGUGGGCUCGAAGAGGUCAUGACUUUACUUGAUGAUCCCACUAUUUCGAAAGAGUGUCAACUUUGCAUGCAUGUGGAUCAUGUAGAGAAUAUGUUAUGUGAUAGAUAUAUCAUUGAAUAUGAAUAUGACCCCACAUGUAAUUAUUAUGAGAGAGGAAAAUAUGGUUGUAGAAUUUUUCAUGUUACUAAAUUAACUCUCCUCAUGUUGAGAUUGUCAAUGUUUUAUUCUUCUCCCAUGCAUAUGCUAGUUUUUGCUUGUAUUGAUAAUUUGUUUGCCUACAAAAUGCCUAUGCAUAGGAAGUAUGUUAGACUUAAAUACGUUUGUCACAAGUUUUAUGCUACUCUAUUUGUGCUUCAAUUCUUGUCUUUGAUGUGUGCAUCGUUAAAAUUUCAAGCCUAUCUUAGUGGCUAUAAAGAAAGAGCUUGUUGGGAGGCAACCAAAUGAAUAAAUUUUAUUUUUGUCUUUUUCUUUAUGUUCUUGAGAGUUUACCCAAUUAUGCAUAUUAUUAGAUGUUUUUUGUGGUUUAAAUUAGUGUUUGUGACAAGCAAGGCCUUUAGGAUGAUUUGGGUGAGAGUUGAUUUGAUCUUGCUGAAAAACAGAAACUUUUGCACUCACAGAAAUAAUUCCCGUUUUUAACAAAAGAGUUAUUUUGAGUUGAUUCUUUUUGCAGAAGAUUAAUAUACAAAUUUUCCACAUUUUCCUAAUUUUUCAGAAUUUGUUGAGUUACAGAAGUAUUCGAAGUUUCUAGAUUACUACAGACUGUUCUGUUUUUGACAGAUUCUGUUUUCUUUGUGUUGUGUACUUGUUUUGAUGAUUCUAUGGUUCUAUUUGAAGAUUUUUUGCGAUAGAAAAGUUGGAAUACAGUAGAUAUAAUUCAAAAACAAAAUACGAAUGGGUUUGCAACAGUAAAUAUACUAGUGGUUUGCUUUCUUAUACUAAUCGAUCUCACGAACGUUUUGUUGAGUUUUGUGUGAUUGAAGUUUUCAAGUUUUGGGUGAUAUUACGAUGGAUGAAGGAAUAAGGAUUAGCAAACGGCUAAGCUUGGGGAUGGCCGAGGCAUCCCAAGAUAAUAUUCAAGAAGUAGCAAGCAACUAAGCUUGGGGAUGCCCCCGAGUGGCAUCCCUCUUUCUUCUAACAACGAUCAGUAUUUUAAUUGGAGCUAUAUUUUUAUUUGUCACAUAUUAUGUGUUUUGCUUGGAUCGUCUUGUAUGAUAUGAGUCUUUGCAUUUUUUGAUUUUUAUUUUAAGUCUUGAAUCCUUGCUGGACACUCCUAUUUGAGAGAGCCAAAAAUUAUGUUAUGCUUGCUCCUAUGCUUCAGUUCAAUUUUGAGAGCCAUGGAAUUGCUCAAGUGCUUCACUUAUAUCUUUUUGAGCAUGGUGUGCUUUGUUAUUUUUGAAGAAAUGCUCUCAUGCUUCACUUAGAUUUAUUUGGGAGUUAGUAAAAAAUUUAAGAAAUUAUCUCUUGCUUCCCUUCAAUUAUUUUGAGAGAAAGAAAUAGUAUGCUCAUGUUCUUCACUUAAACUUGUUUGAGCUGAUUAAAAGCAACAUAUGAAACUAGUCCCAAAGUGAUAGAUGUCCAAGGAGGAUAUAACAAAAACUUUCAUGAACAUCAUUGGACAAAAUAAACUUGGUUCUUUGUAAUAGUUUUGAGAUAUGACGAUAUGAUAUGUGAGUCAUGUUGAUGAGUAAUUAUGCUUUAGUAAGAAUAUUGGUGUUAAGGUUUGUGAUUCCCUAUGCAAGCAUGAAAGUCAAUAGUUAUGCAAUGAAAUUACAUCCUACUUGUGGUGCAUUAUUUAUUGUUAGUUAUGCUUAAUGCUUGCUUAUGAGAUUUUUCGUUUCUUGGUUGGACGCUUCUCAAUCUUUUUGUCAGCCUUCAUUUGCACUAAGUAUGAUCACUACUUGUGCAUCUGAAACCCUUUAAACCAGAUUUGCCAUAUGAGUCCACUAUACCUACCUAUAUGCGGUAUUUCCAUGCCGUUCUAAGAAAAGUUGUGUGUGCAUCUCUAAUUUUCAAAAUAAAUUUCUCUUUUGUUUGAUCGUACCGCUCGCGAGGCGGCGAGGGGUGGCCGAUGUUUUCCAUUCUAAAUGUGUUAUUCUCACGAUGAGUGCUUAUUCACUUGUCAUUGCACGAGAGUACGACAAAGGUAUUAGGGAUGCCCAGUCUCAAAAUGAAAAAUGAAUUUACUUUAUGUUGUCAAAUAAUUAAUUCCUUGGAAAGUCUUGGUAUGGAGGGCACCCGUGGAUACAGUUAGCCAUGGAAAGUGAAAGUAUGGUGGAAAAAGGACUUUAUUUUCUGUUUGGGAACCGCCUAUGAUGUAUCUAGCAUGGAAAGUGUUGGGAACUCUAAGUCGUUUUGGUUGGUGGGAAAAGUAUGCCUCCCAAAAUGUCUUUAUCUCUCAAUUUUCGCUUUGAGCUCUGGCACCUCUACAAAUCCCUACUGCCCUCUACGAAAGGCCUUUCUUUUACUUUAUGCAUUUUUUUAUUUGAGUCUCCACCUACUCUUAUAAAGCACCAACUAAGGGGCACUAUGAUCGUACUUGAGCAUUGGGUAUAACUAGCAUUGGAGUGUGUUUCAUGAAUGGAUCAAUGAUUGAGCAUAAUGGGCUAGGGAUAACUUGCUUUAGCAUUGAUAUUUUGAAAGACAUGGUUGCUUGUUGAUAUGCUUGAGUAUUGAAGUCUUCAUGUCAAAACUAGACUAUUGCUUUGAACCAUAUAAAAAUCCAAAUGUCCAUGCUACAAAGAAAACAAUAUGUGAUGAACAUAUUAGGCAGCAUUCGACACUACAAAAAAAGACACAUCCGUGACAUUUUGGGCCGAACGAAAUUUUUUUAUGUCAUACUUAUGACACUUCUAUGACGAUAAUUGUGACAAAACACGGUAUCAUCAUAGAUGUGGUGGGCGCCUACUUCUUUGAUAAAAAAUCAUGACAGAAAAUGGGCUUUUCAUCCUGGGCGGGCCUGAGACGCAGCUGCAUGACAUUCUUUGGGCCGUCCAUGAUGGAAAAGGCUGUGGUAGAAGCGAGGGCGAGGAAAAUAUCAGGGUGUAACCGGUUAUGGUGGAUGGUCGGGGCCGAGCGAUGCACAGAGGUUUGCGCGUUUCUCUCGUACAUGCAUGCGCAUGGGUGCGAGGGGUUGGGCUCUAAAUGAAACCAGCGAGGUGUUUACCUACUGAUCCCGAGCGAUUGCACUGCAGGCUAUGCGUUACUGAACCCGAGAGAUCCAUCGAUGGCUGUUAACUAAAGCCGAUCGAGCGAUUCCUUCGCUACUACUGCUAACUGAAGCUGAUCGAUGCUGCCUCUGGAUGAACAGUGAGCGUUGCUGNNNNNNNNNNNNNNNNNNNNNNNNNNNNNNNNNNNNNNNNNNNNNNNNNNNNNNNNNNNNNNNNNNNNNNNNNNNNNNNNNNNNNNNNNNNNNNNNNNNNNNNNNNNNNNNNNNNNNNNNNNNNNNNNNNNNNNNNNNNNNNNNNNNNNNNNNNNNNNNNNNNNNNNNNNNNNNNNNNNNNNNNNNNNNNNNNNNNNNNNNNNNNNNNNNNNNNNNNNNNNNNNNNNNNNNNNNNNNNNNNNNNNNNNNNNNNNNNNNNNNNNNNNNNNNNNNNNNNNNNNNNNNNNNNNNNNNNNNNNNNNNNNNNNNNNNNNNNNNNNNNNNNNNNNNNNNNNNNNNNNGCGGUGGGGGUGGAUGAACAGGACCCCGUGGUGUUGCCUCUGGAUGAACAAGACCCCGAUCGAUCGAGCCGGUUGGGGAUGGAUGAACAGGACCCCGUGGAGGGCUGGAUGAACAGUAGAAGGUGGAGGGGUGGAUGAACAGUAGCCCGUGGAGGGGUGGUUGAACAGGAGCCUGUGGAGAGGGGUGGUUGAACAGUAGCAGGUGGAGUAGCGCGGUGGAGGCUGGAUGAACAGGAGCCCGUGGAUGAACAAUCGCAGGUGGAGGCUGGAGGAGGUGGACGGUGGAUGAACAGUAGCCCGUGGAGGCUGGAGGAGGUCGACGGUGGAGAUGAACAGUAUCCCGUGGAGUCCCGUUUUGCGGUACGCCACACCCCUCCCGAUGAACAGGAUCCCCGUUUCGACCGUAGCGCUCCAACACAAGUCUGUUUCCUCUGUUUUGCGAUACGCCACACCCCCCCGAUAAAUAGGACCCCGUUUCGACCAUAGGAGGUCCAACACAAGUUUGUUUCCUCCGUUUUGCGGUACACCAGACCCCUCCCGAUGAACAGGAUCCCGUUUCGAACGUGGCUGGUCGAACACAAGGCAGUUUCCUCCGUUCUGCGGUACACCAGGCCUCGUUUCCAUCGACUGUUCCGUCCAAGCCGGUUGGCUCCCACGCGUUCCGUUGCCUCCCGAUGAACACGACGCAUUCCAUUGCCUCCCGAUGAACACGACGCAUUGCCUCCCCAUGAACACGACGACGAUGCAGUUUCUCCGUUCUGACCCAGCCAUGUGCACGAGCUUUGGCCGUAUGUAUGCGCGAGUAGGCAUUCGAGACCCCGCCUGUAUGUAGGUACGUGGCCUUAUUUUCUUUCUUGCACAUUGGUCAUUGUACGUACGUGUACAUGCUACGUGCGCGCCUCUACUACGACACGUGCGCGCCUCUACAUCGACUAGUAUGUACAUACAUGUUCGCGACCAGAAUCACAAUGUUACGUACGCUUCGACCAGGUGGGUCCCGAAUGUCAGGAACUUCCUUGCAUGCGAAGAUGUAGCUGAUGGGUCCCAGCUGUCAGGGGGCGAAUCGUUUUUCCCCGGAUGCACUUCCUUGUGUGCGAAGAUGUAGCUGGUGGGUCCCAGCAAUCAGGGGGGAAACGUUUUUUUCUCGAAAUACGGCGGCCCGUCCAGUGGGUCCCUGCUGUAAAGUUUUCCUGCACCAGGUUUUCACCUCAUUGGCUAUAAAGUUUGAGCCAUUAUCGGUGAUGAUGCUGUGGGGGACACCAUAGCGGUGUAUGACCCCGGAUAUAAAGUCUAUCACUGGUCCGGAUUCGGCCGUUUUAACUGGUUUGGCUUCUAUCCAUUUGGUGAAUUUAUCGACCAUGACCAACAAGUAUUUCUUCUUAUGGCUUCCUCCUUUAAGGGGUCCAACCAUAUCGAGCCCCCAGACCGCAAAGGGCCAAGUAAUGGGGACUGUAUGGAGGGCGGUGGGCGGCAUAUGGCUUUGAUUUGCAAAAAGCUGGCAACUGACGCAGUGUUGGACAAGGUCCUGUGCGUCUGCCCAGGUUGUCGGCCAGUAGAAACCUGUACGAAAGGCCUUGCUUAUGAGCGCCCGAGCUGUGGUAUGGUGGCCGCCGAGUCCGGCAUGAAUUUCAUCCAAGAGCUGUCGCCCUUCCUCUUCGGAGAUGCACCUUUGGAGCACUCCGGUUGCGCUAUUCUUAUAAAGCUCUCCCUCGUGGACUUUGUAGGCUUUAGAGCACCGCACAAUGCAGCGUGCCUCAUUUUGGUCCUCCAGGAGUUCCUGCCUAUUUAAAUAAGCUAGGAAGGGUUCCGUCCACGGGGCGAUGACCGCCAUGAUCACGUGGGGCGAAGGUGUGAUUUCGGUGGCGGAGCCUCCGAUUACGUCAAAUUGUUCAGGAUCUGGGGUUGUAUGCGGAUCUAGAUUAGUAUUGCUGGACUCCCCUUCCCAUACCAUAGAUGGCUUGAACAGCCUUUCCAAAAAAAAUUGGUGGGAUGGGGUCACGUUUAGCGCCGUCGCGGGUAAGGAUAUCUGCGGCUUGAUUGUUUUCUCGAACCACAUGGUGGAAUUCGAGCCUCUCGAAUCGAGCUGACAUUUUGAGAAUGGCAAUACGGUAAGCCGCCAUUUUUAGGUCUUUGGCGUCAAAGUCUCCAUUUAUUUGAGAUAUUGCGAGAUUUAAAUCCCCGGGUACUUCGAGAUGUUGAAUGCCCAUGGAGACUGCCAUCCGAAGACCGUGCAACAGAGCCUCAUACUCUGGUGCAUUGUUGGAGCCUGUGUAAAGUAUUUGGAGAACGUACUGGACUGUAUCUCCGGUGGGGGACGUCAGGACAACGCUAGCCCCUAGACCAGCUAGCAUCUUAGAGCCGUCAAAGUGCAUGAUCCAAUUGGAGUACACGCCGUACUCUUUAGGGAGUUCAUUCGGCGACGAAGUCAGCCAGUACAUGCGACUUAAUGUCCCGCCGUGGUUUGUAUGUUAUGUCGAAUGGGAGGAGCUCAAUAGCCCAUUUUGCAAUCCGAUCGUGAUUGAACACUCUUGAAAGUAAUUUAUUAUGUCAUUGAGUGGUACUUCGGAGGCCACCGUGAUUGAACACUCUUGAAAGUAAUGUCGUAGUUUCCCAUGAAGACCGCGUAUGCUAUAUUUUGAUAAUGUGGGUACCGUUACUUGCAUGGAGUGAGGACAGUGGAUACGUAGUAUACCGACUUUUUUAAUGGGAAUUUAUGUCCAUCUGUCUCUCGUUCGAUGAUGAGCACUGCGCUUAUGACCUGGUGUGUUGCAGCUAUGUAUAACAACAUGGGUUCACCGACAUUUGGCGCUGCCAGAAUUGGAUUGGUGGCCAAGAGGGAUUUUAUUUCCUCCAGCCCCGCCGUAGCCGCAUCCGUCCACUUGAAGUGUUCGGUGCGUCGAAGAAGGCGAUAAAGAGGUAACACCUUUUCUCCUAAUCGGGAGAUAAAGCGGCUUAGGGCGGCCACGCAUCCAGUUAAUUUCUGGAUUUGCUUGAGGUCUGUUGGGGUAGCCAACUGUGACAGAGCUCAGAUUUUACCCGGAUUUGCUUCGAUUCCUCUAUUGGAGACAAUAAAGCCCAAAAGUUUUCCCGCUGGUAUGCCGAAAACGCAUUUUUCUGGGUUGAGGUUGAUGUCGUAUGUUCGGAGAUUGUCGAACAUAAGCCUCAAGUCGUUUAUUAAUGAUUUGAUGUGUCUAGUUUUAAUGACCACAUCGUCUACGUAAGCCUCCACCGUUUUGCCGAUUUGUGUUUCCAGGCAUGUCUGAAUCAUGCGUUGAUAGGUUGCACUGGCAUUUUUGAGCCCGAAAGGCAUGGUGUUAAAACAGAAGGGACCGUAUGGAGUGAUAAAUGCAGUUGCGGCUUGAUCGGACUCCACCAUCUUGAUUUGGUGGUAUCUGGAGUAUGCAUCGAGGAAACACAAUGAGUCGUGUCCCGCGGUAGCAUCGAUAAUUUGAUCGAUGCGAGGGAGGGGGAAGGGAUCCUUAGGGCAAGCCUUAUUAAGGUCUUUGAAGUUGACGCAUAGGCGCCAGGAUUUUUCCUUCUUUGGUACCAUCACUAGGUUUGCUAGCCAGUCCGGAUGUUUUAUCUCUCUGAUGAAUCCGGCUCCAAGUAGCUUGGCCAGCUCCUCUCCCAUGGCUUGUCGUUUGGGUUCUGAAAAGCGCCGAAGAGUCUGUUUGACCGGCUUGUAUCCCUUUAGUAUGUUUAGGCUAUGUUCGGCCAACCUGCAUGGGAUACCUGGCAUGUCUGAAGGAUGCCACAGGAAAAUGUCCCAAUUCUUGCGCAAGAACUCUCGUAGUGCGGUGUUUAUUGUGGGGUUCAACUGUGCCCCAAUUGAUGCUAUUUUUGUAGGGUCCGUUGGGUGGACAUAGAAUUUGACUAUUUCAUCUGCUGGUUUGAAGGAGGUGGACUUGGGUCGUUUGUCGAGUAUCACGUUGUCCCUGUCCACUACGGAGCGUAGCGCAGUUAACUCCUUGGUCGCGAGGGCUUUGGAUAAUGCCUCCAGGGCUAGUGCAGCAGUUUUAUUUUCGGCACGGAGUGCUAUGUCCGGAUCACUGGCCAGAGUGAUGAUCCCGUUGGUCCUCGACAUCUUGAGCUUCAUGUACCCGUAAUGGGGUAUAGCUUGGAAGCUUGCAAAUGCGUCUCGCCCCAAGAGGGCGUGAUAUCCACUGCUAAAUGGGGCCACUUGGAAUGUGAUUUCUUCGAACCGAUAAUUCUCCGGUGUGGCAAAUACCACAUCCAAUGUGAUUUUCCCUGCGCAUCAUGCCUCCCGACUAGGGAUGAUUCCCCUGAAGGCCGUGCUGCUUUGCUUAAUGCGGCUCUUAUAUAUUUCCAUUUUCUUAAGAGUUUCCUCAUAGAUGAGGUUUAAUUCACUGCCACCGUCCAUCAACACUUUAGUAAGCGAAAUCCAUCUAGUAUUGGACUAAGGACCAAAGCGGCUGGUGCUCGGACUAUUCGGAAUUGAGGUUCGUCGCUGGCGUUGAAGGUUAUGUCUGUAUCACUCCACAGGUUUAUUGCUGCGAUGUGGCAGACUUCGGCGAGGCUGUGGAGCGCUCGCUUGCGCCUAUUGUUUGAGGCAAAAGUCUCGAAGACGGUCAAUAUUGUAUUGUUAUUUUCUGCAGGAUGGUGUUCGGGGUAUUGUCGAUGAGAAGGUCCUCGCCGCUCUUGGCCACCUGCCGGAGUAUCCAACAUGCUCUAAGGCUGUGUGUUGGUGUGGUGUCCUGUGUGCUGUGAAUUUUGCAUUGCCUAUUGAGCCAUCCCUCCAGUACGGUUGCACGCUCUGUAGAGGGCUUUGGCUUAUUUGUAAUUGGGUUGGGUGACUUGCAAGAGCUCACCCUUUUAGUUCGGACGAGGGGUUUAGUUAGGGCCGGAGGAUCCCAUAAUUUUGUUUGGGUCUUCCAAGCGCUUUCCAUCGCGCAGUACUUCUGUACUAUGGCCGCCAGGUCGGUAAACUGUGUUAUGUCACGGCGACUUAUGGCAUUGAGAAUUCCCUUGUCCGUGCAAUUUUUGCAAAAGAAUGAGAUUGAGUCUUCCUCGUGACAGUCCUUAACCUUGCUCAUUACUAGGAGGAUUCUGGCACAGAAGUGGUGUACUGUCUCUUGGGGCUCUUGUAUGAUGUGGGAAUGAUCGCUUGCGUCUCGGUGGGUGGGUGAAAUUAAGUCCACGUCCUGACCCAAUCUGGAACCCAGGGGCGAAGGAGCUCCUGAGCUUGGCGGUUCGGGCUCCCAGAUAUUGCUCAAUAUUUGUGGCCCAUCGCUCGAUUCUAAGUUCGGAGCCUGGGCCACGUCCUCCAGUAGACGGGUAUCCGGCUCAGAGAGCUCGGGAAUCCGGACAUAGUUCGUCCUCAAAAUAGAGGAAGAAUUGUCGUUUUGUUCCUCCACCACCGCUAUCUGAUGGGUCACCGGCGGAGAGUUAAUCUCCCUUAGGUCGGGUUUGAGCCCGAUCCAAUCAUAGUCCGUAGAGACUCCCAGGGCGGCGAUGCGAUCCAAGAUCUCGUUCAAGGAGGAGAGCUCCAUUGGAUCCAUCUGCUCAGUGAAUUCCGGGCUGACGCGGAGGUUGUUUUUGAUGACCUGAGAUGUCAUCAUCGACGCGGCGGCCGAACGGGCGACCAUGACGAAACCGCCCAGCCGAAGAGUUUGGCCUAUAGCCAGGGAUCCUCCGGAGGUGAUGUUAUCCUGGACAACAAGGCGAGCCAUCAAGCCUUAUCAGGACGACACAAUGGAACUCUCAAUGAAAGCACCAAUGUCGGUGUCAAAACCGGCGGAUCUUGGGUAGGGGGUCCCAAACUGUGCGUCUAAGGCUAAUGGUAACAUGAGGCAGGGGACACAAUGUUUUACCCAGGUUCGGGACCUCUUGAUGGAGGUAAUACCCUACUUCCUGCUUGAUUGAUCUUGACGAUAUGAGUAUUACAAGAGUUUAUCUACCACGAGAUCGUAGAGGCUAAACCCUAGAAACUAGCCUAUGAUUAUGAUUGUUGUCGUCCUAUGGACUAAACCCUCCGGUUUAUAUAGACACUGGAGGGAGCUAGGGUUACGCAGAGUCGGUUAUAGAGAAGGAAAUCUACAUAUCCGAAUAUCCAAGCUUUCCUUCCACGCAAAGGAGAGUCCCAUCCGGACACGGGACGAAGUCUUCAAUCUUGUAUCUUCAUAGUCCAAUAGUCCGGCCAAAGUAUAUAGUCCGGCUGUCCGAGGACCCCUUAAUCCAGGACUCCCUCACCCGCCGUCAGGCUCUCACGUACAGUCCUCUUUUGAUGACUCUCAUUUGUUGACCAUGCCGCGCCGAGCAUACCGAGGCGGUGGACGAUGGCGAGGCUCCAUACCGAAAUGACCCAGAUAUGGGGAAGGUGCGGCAAUGGAGUCGCAAACGGAGAGGAGUGGGAAACUUGACUGGUUGAGGUGCGGGGUGGGCCUACACUUGGCAGAGAAUAAUAGGAGGUGUGGAGUGGAGGGAUGGCCUGGCCGUCGGCGGGGUAGCAUUUUGCUGCGAGGCAUGCAAAACAACACCGCUGGACGCCAGAGGCUGGAGCAGGCGGUCCCGGCAGCGCUGGGGGAAUAAGAUGAGAGAUUGAAGAAGAAUGCCGGCCAUUGGAUGUAAAUUCAACGCCUUGCUUAGGCUUCAACCUACUGGCCCACAUGUCAGCCAGUCCAUUUGUUUUUUAGUCCAUUUGGUGGGCUGGGUGAAACAAUAAUGUAGCAUCUAUGCAGCCCGCUUAUAUAUAUGGUAGAAUUUAAAGCCCAUUUGCAUAUUUCUCGAAAUCCGCGACUUGUUGGGCUGGGUGAAAAUAUCAUGUUGGGCUGGACGGAGAAAUGUUAUAAAAACAUAAACACAUGAUUGCACGUCUAUUACUGCAUUGGUUAGUAAAAUCCUUGCAAGCUUAUGUACGCAAUCACUAGGAGUUAACUUGCCAAGUUAUACAUAAACAAUUAUUAUUAUUAUUUUGUAAGAACUUUCAAUUUACGAAAUAAAAUAUCAUUUUAAUUUGAUGAGUUAAUAGGACGUGGGGUAUUAUUUUUUUAGGCUAGACGUGGGACAGUUGAGGUUGUUAUAGGGAAAUGUACUAAGAGAAAACUCAGUUAUCAUCGAAAAAGAAAGAGGAAGAAAAUUCAGAUAUAGGAUUAAUGAAAACAAAAAUAAAGGAAGUGGGAAGGUCUAUAAAAUGGUUGGAUGAAUGACACGUUUAAUGGAACCUUAUAUAUACAUCUGGGCUAUUCUGUUACGCGUAACAGAAUAUUAUUCUGUUACCCUACUUGAACUCACAAUUUCAGGCGGUUGUACUGAUGAUUUCGAAGCGGUUGAACUGAUGCAUUCAGUUUUGUUUAACAGGUCAUCUUCUUUAGUUCAAAAAAUGUUUCCAAUUUUAUUGUCGGAACGGGGCGUGUAAUUUAUUGUUGGAAAGCUCUUGACAACUAUAUUUCAAGUAUACUGAACGUUUUUGUAAAAUCAUUAUGGUUUAAGAGCAGUUUUGAAAAAUCCGUUUUUUUCAAAACUGAAAAUGCGAAUCGUAUUUUGGACUCAAUUUUCAAACGGUUUGUCAGAAUGGAGAAAAUAAGAUGGCCUUGGAAAGCUAGUGAAAAUUCACAUCUUUCAUAUAUCUAUUGCUUUUUCUAAUUCUAUACGAUUUAAAAGUAAUUUGAAAAACGGUAAAAUUCUGGCUGAAAUGUAUUUUCACGGUUUUUUGCAAACGGUUUGUCGGAUUGAUGCAAAUGAUACGGCGUUGGAAAUCUAUGGAAAAUGCAAGUCUUUCGUAUUGAAAUAUUUUUCUAAUUCCGUAUGGUUUAAAAACAAAAUUUGAAUACAGUCAAAUUUGAUUUUGAACGCGAUUUUUUUAAAAGUUUGUCGAAAUGAGGCACAUAAUAUACCGUUGGAAAGAUAUCGAAAAUACAAAACUUAGUGAUGUUGAACGCUUUCUCAAAUUCACAACCGUUGAAGAGUAAUUUGGAUUACGAUGAGCCCAUCGUGCUGUUUUUCGUCAGAAAAAAUAGAGUACUUGUACUGUUCUACGUGUGCAUUUGUACUGAUGUAUUCUUCAGAGACUAAUUUUGAAAGGUUCCGAAAAAAGAGUACUUGAACUGAUGUCCAUAUGGUUUUGUAGUGAGCGUGUUUUAACAUACUAGACUUUACUUUGUUUUGGGUGAUAUUUUUGCUCGUAAGUUUUCAACGGUUUUAUUGUAUAGUCACCUCUGUACUUGCAUGGUUUAUAUCAUCGAACUGAAUGAUAUUUUUUUCAGAAAGAAAAUGUUUUUUUAUUCUUUUUUUAAACUAAACAUUUUUUUACAACGGUGUUCUGGUCUUCUCUUUUUUUACGACUUGUACUUUUCCCAUUUCAAUUGCAUGGGGUUUCUUUUUGCUUGAACUUUUACAAUUUGAAUUUCUGUCAUUUCUUUUAUUCCGAACAGACCACCGUUUUUAACUCGUACUGAUCAAUAUUUUUAAUUAAACCAUUUUUCCUUUCAUUUGACAGAAUUUUUUUCCACACAUAAUACAUGUACAUGAAUCAUAUUACCCAUAGCACCGACCUCAACACAAAAAUCAUCGCCCUAUUCUUGUAUAGAACUUUGUAGAUGUUUCUUUAUACACAUAUUGAGUACUGAUGCUAUGUUUUUCUUUGAACUGGUAUCAAAUUUCUCUAUACACAUAUUGAACUUUGUACGUGUUUUUUUAUGCAUUGAUGAUAUAAUACAUGUUGGACUGCUACACCAUAGCUAAAAAAUCAAUCCAUUUGAACUAUUAUUUUACAUUGAACUUUCAUCAAUCAACAUACAUCAUUUUCCUUUCUGUUCACACACUUACAUAAGACAUUACAUAACACAUGCACAGCUCCAUGAUCAUACACACUUCUCUCCUGUAGCUUCUCCUCGCUAUGUUUAACAAACAAUCAAUUGGAGAGAAAAUCACAAAUGAUUUUAGAUACAAAAAUCACCUCCACAUGCUACCUUAAACUAAUCAAUUGGAGAGAAAAUCACAUGUGAUUUUACAUACAUAAAUCACCUCCACAUCCACUAGCUAUACUGAUGUUUGUUUUCUUCUACUUCCAUUGUCAUGCAUAAGUUCAUACAACUGUUGAGCAAAAGCUCUUUCCCAUGAAGCUAAAAACAAGCAAAAAAGCUACACAUCACAGGUUUCUUUUUUGAACUUUUUUCCUUCUCUAAAUUUUUUCAGGCUAUAAAGGCGAACUUUUACGUGUAUCUACGAACAUGAAACAACAUUAAACAGAACAAGAUCCAUGUGGCCACAGACAAGAUCGCUACAUCAUUACCACCUCUAUGCUUUUGAACUGAUGUAACAAGAUGACUAGAAGUUUGAUACAAGGCCAAAGGACGACCAAAUGGCACAAUCUCAAAAGGCAUAAUUAUUGGAGUCAAGCAACUAGGGAAAGAUCCAAAGCCUCCACAACAUCGACACCUGAUUUGAGUACUACUACGCCAGUUAAGCUAGGCCUUUCUUCUUCAGCAAAAGCCGCAUAAGCACUUGCCUUUCUCAUAGUCGCCAGGACCUGGAAAGAUCUUCAUGCAUUCAUCAUUGCACAAGCUAUCUGUGCAAGGCUUACCGAGUUCAAUGACCGUUGUUGCACAGAACUCAGGGGACACCCUGCUGCCCGAUGAUGGUUCCUUGGCCAAAAUGAGUGCAGGUCCUAAACCGAAAGAAGAUGC
Molecule: long non-coding RNA, 66273 nt
Filed under: Triticum aestivum (bread wheat)
Lineage: Eukaryota; Viridiplantae; Streptophyta; Magnoliopsida; Poales; Poaceae
Description: long non-coding RNA (TAES_LNC003447)
Source: RNAcentral